UUAUUUUGGAUGAUAUUAGAAAUCUAAAUUGAUGAUCGGUAUUGUUGAAAUUAAUCUACACUAUUAAAAUAUUUAGAAAUCAAGUUUUGUUAUUUUAAAAAAUUAUUAUAAAGUCCAUUGAAAAGCCGAAAAAUGAAAGGUCGAAAAUGAAUAAGCUUCUAAAAAUAGAGGUUAGACUUUUUUAAUUAAUUCAUGAUCGAAGUUACCAAACGUUAUAUAAAUAGUAUAAAAAAUUUUCUAUAAAAAAUUCAAAUAUUUUAGAUUACUCUACACCGUUAAAUAAGCAAAUGACACAUAUAAAUCAUCAAAAACUGUCGAUUUUGCAAUCCUUUGAUCACUAUAUAAAUAAUUUCUUAAAAUUAUAAAAUUUAGUUUCUAGACACUUCAAAUACUUUAAAUUAAUUUUAACGGUUACGAUCAAUGAAUUGAGAUCUCUAUCACAAAAAAUGACUUGAUAAAAUGAAAAUUUCCAUCCUCUUAAAAGAAUAGCAGUUGAAUUAUAUAGAAUUGAGUUCUUAUGCUUUUAAAAAUAUCAAAUGAUCACCAGUGCUUAUGGGUUUUUGGCCUUUGGAUGAAGCUUAAUUUAUAGGGUUAGAAUAAUAGUGGUUCCCUGAGAUUGAGUUGGUGAUUAGUGGUAUAGCAUGAUUUAAGAGGUGGAAUUAGUCAAAGGGAUAGAUCUAAUAGUGAAAACUUACAAGUACUAAAUAGUUGGUGUUUUUAAAAGUACUCUAGCCGGUCUCACUCUCUCUCUACAUAUAUUCCUAAAACUCACUGCACAUUCACAAAUCCCUAGUGCAUGGGUACAUAUAAUUAGUAACGCAACAGGUAUAUAUGAAGCUCGCGCCAACUCUAUAAAAAAUAUGGUUCAAGAUAAUGGUCAAACAAUGGAUAUCCUUCUUAAUAAUUAGAUUAUAUUAUAAUGAUUGAUAACACAUCACCGUGCUGCUCCCACUUGAGGUGGCAGCAGUAAAGGGAUGAUCUAUAUAUUAAUUAGUUUAACUAGUAGUGGGGUAAGUUCAUAGAAACUAAUUAUUAGGCAAAAGCUAUACAAAGUAGAACAGCUAAGCAGGUGAUGAUACGACCCAAGUUGGGGGACAUCAUUCGCCCUUCUUAGAAUUUCUAUGGUUUCACUUUUGCUGUGGCGCUCAACAGCAAUGAUUCUAGUUGAGUAUUUGAUAGAGAAAAUAAUCUAAAACUUUUCUAAACCUCAAAAGUAGGAACUUUAACUCUCUCGCUCUCUCUCUCUCUCUCUCUCUCUCUCUCUCUCUCUCUCUCUCUAUAUAUAUAUAUAUACACUUUUGUUACACUAGUAUUUAAUUAGUUAUCAUCCUAAUAAUGCUAUUCAGACAAUGCUUUGUUAAAUAAUGCAAUAUAUACUAUACAAUAAGGUGCAUUUGGCUCUUGGUGAUGUAGAAAGCCAAAUUUAAGUAUUUAAAGCAAAUAAAAACUGAUGGUGUACAUGUCGUCUCAUAUAUGCAUGAGAUUGUUAGUCUAAGAUGCGGCACUGACACCGAGAUAACUCCAAGGGACAUUACCCGAGUUUUUAUAGUUGCAUUAAAUGAUGGUAAGGUCGAGAUGCAGCAUGGGCUCUUAUUUUGUUGCAUAAAUGUAAGUAAAUUAUACCAUUGUUUAAUAGCUUAAGACUAUUAGAUUACUUGGUGUUGUUCCACAUAAUCCCUAUGAGCAUACUAGUUGCUUUGAUAUACAGCAGUUGUAAAAACUAGCAUUUUCUCUUAUAAGAAUCGUUCACUCUGAUACUAAUUGUGUAAACCUGCAGGAUCUAUAAUCACAAUGUAUUAUAGUAAAAAUUAAGAUAGUGUAAGAAAGAAAGAAGAGUCAUAAACUAAUUAUAUGCAAAAAAAAAAAAAAAAUCAACAUGUAUAUAUAGUAAGAAACUCAUCAUCCACUAAACUCUUAUUUUUAAUUAAAUUGUGGAAUAAGUUUGAAUUAUUAGUUCCACACAAAUACAUAGAGUAGUCGUCGUAUACGAAGUAUUUUGUUUUUUCAGAGAAAGAUAGUAUACUAUCAGCUUCGUUCAGAUUUUUAUGAAUGAACCUAACUAAGAAUGUGAAGCAAUAAGGCUCUGAACUUAAUUGGGACCUAAGAUACCAGCCAUCAAGCUCUUUGCCACCUCGAGUCCUCAUAUAUGAAGUUAAUUUGAAAAUUCAAUCAUUUAUGCCAUUAAUUGAAUAUAUCAGUGCAUGCAUGUCCACUUUUAUUGAUCAUGACAUCUAUGGAGUAGUGAGUACUCAUGCAUAUACAUGCCAUGCUUUUUUUUUUAGAGAAAUAGGUAGCACGCUACCCACUUCGUUUAUUUCAUUUAGAAAUAAACUUAGCUAGAAAUGUGAAUCAACUAGGAUUUGAACUUGGGUCUCGCGUAUCAACCACCAAGCCCUUUGCCACUUGCUCUAGAGACGGUCGGUAUGUACAUGCCAUGCUUAGACAAAUAAAUAUCUCUCUACAUUUUGUAGAAGGGAGAAAGGAUGCUAAUAACAAAAGGAGUUCAAAAAGAAAGAAAUGCAAUCCACGUGAGGAUAGAGUUCAUGCGUGUGGGUCUUCUCCAAUGCCAGCUACUACACAACAACAAAGAAUCAUUAAUGGUUUCACAAGUAACAACACUACUUCUCGAAGUUAAGAUUAGUUGUAUAUAUACUCAAAGGUAAGAUGCAUUAAUGGUUCAUGUAAUAAUUUUAGUCUCUGCGCUUUCAAUUUAAACACUUAGAUUAGCUCAUAAAUGUCAAAAAGCAAAUCUCAAGUUUCUUGUCUAAGAUGAUCAUUUUAUUGUCAUUUUAAUUAACUUAAAAAAUAAUUCAAUAUUAUUUUUUAUGAUCGAGAAUUUAGAGCAUGCAAAUCAAGUUUCCAUAUGGAAAUAGUAUAUAUAGGAAGCAUCCAUACAUUUUACCCUACUACUUUAUAAUGGGGCAUUUGGACUCUACAAUAGCUAGAAGUUUCCACACAAUGGCAAUUAUUCUUGUCAACAUGACUUCUUUCCUGUAACGUGUGUUACGUUCCGAGCAUGUGUUUGAUCCCUGGGAGUGGAACGUGACAAAGAGUGGAGUUGUAGUUACGUACAUGAAAAGAAGAGGUUUUGGUCAUUAAAUGAUGGUUUCUGAUUUACAUAGCAUUAAUGAUUCAGAGAGAUUCUUCUUAGUUCGUAGCAUUUAACCCAAAGAGUGACACAUCACGCAUAUUGCCUAGUGUACAAAUACAAUAUUGCACAUUACUUUCAAGCUAAGAGCUUUCAAAUAAUAACAAGUUAUGUGUUAAAGUCACUUCAUUACGUGUUGUAAGUCGAUGGGAAUUGUAUGUGGACAUGGGACAUGUUCUUUUGGUGGUGGCUUGUGGGUCCGGAGCCAGUUCGAUUGUGACUAUCCUAGAAUAGUACAAGUUAUCAGAAUUAGAUUUGCGCAAUGCAUGCAUGGGCCCUAGAUGGCCCCAACUCUCAAAUUAUAUACAGAAAAUUGGUGCUUAAUUAAUUUACAAUGAAUUAAUCAUUAGUUACUCAAAUAUCUGGGCUUAACAGGAUUAGUUAUUGUUUGCAUAUUAUUUACGUAAGGAUAAUUGGCACUACACAUUCAAAUUAGAAAAUUUUUCUCUAGUAUAGCAGCAGCAUGCAGGUUAUUAUCAUAUGCUUACUACAAUUUAGAAUGUAAAAAAUAAUACUUAAAGUCAAAGAAAUAAAGUGAGUUAUAAAUAAGGUGGUUUUUCUUUAAUAAACCAACGCAACCUGUAUACUUAAAAAGUGGAUGUAUAUAUUACACCAUAUUCAUCCAGGAUUUUUUUUUUAUCAAUUCUUUUCUUAAUAUUAAAAAUUUAUAAGGAGUGUCUAAAUUUUUGAGUAGAAAUGCUACAUGUACAUCUAAAAGUAGGAUAUAAAUUUUAUACCCUCCUGCCUAAGUGUUUAGACAAUUGAGUUUUUAUUAAAAAGAGCAAUAUUACCUAUACACAUAUAUAACAUAUAUAGGUGUAUUUACACACUAAUUAACCACUUUGUGGCAUAUAUUUGUUUAAUUACUUGCCUUAUCAAAUUCUUUUUUUAUUUUUCACCAAACUAUCAAAAAAUAUUGUUAACUCUUGAAUCGAAGGGUGCAACAUAUACACUCCUCGUAUGAGAUGUACAGAUAGUUUUUUUUUUUUUUUUUUUUUUUUUUUUUUUUUUUUUUUUUUUUUGACUAAAAACUCCGAGAGGAUUUAGGGUUUCACUCCACACAAGCAAAUCCCAAAAACAAUUUACAAAACUUUAUAUACCGCUAUGUUAAUUACUUUCUAUUUAUAUUUUACCUUUUAGAAAAAGUAAAGUUCAUAUUUAUCUAAUGCUUUCUCGCAGUUUUUAGUCAACCACUUUUAAUUUGGGCCCACAAAAAAUAAGGAUGCAUGCAUCAAAAGAUUCGAAACAAGUGUUCGACCAACUUGAAAAUAUAAUAAUAUAAGAUUAAGCAAACAAGGCCAAAAUAAAGACAUGGAAAACCCUCCAAUUACGCAAAAAAAUCGUGGGAAUAACCAAGCACGAAAGGUCGGUACUUGAGCUCAGGGACGAAGCUAGCACUCGAUUUUGAGAGAAGCCAAAAUACAUACAAAUUAAAAUUUUAGCAAAUAAACAAGAUUUAUGUAGUCAAAUUUUUGAUGAGAAAACAUAUUGACUAAAUAAUUAGUGUAAUAAAAGCAUUACCCUUUUAAUAUAUACUUACUUAACUUCUAAUUAUUUUAUUUAUAUUAUUUCACUCAAAUAACUUUGAAAUUUAUGAAAUCUAAUAAUAAUUCAGUGAAUGAUUUAAUUUCUUAAUUUUUAUUAAAUAUAAUUGUGACAAUUGAUAGACUAUUAGUUGACAGAGCUAUUAACUUUAAUGUAACCUUUAAUUUAAUUAAAUAAAAAGAUUAUCUAAAAUAAUUAGAAGUUAUGAAGAUACUAAAUAAAAAAAAUAAAAAUAAAUUCAGAGUCGAGAGAGCACUAUGUUAGUGCCAAGAACUUAAAAAAAAAACAGAUUACUCAAUAGGGGUGUAAACGAGGCGAAACACGAGCGAGCUGGUGGUUCGGCUCGUGUUCGGCUCGUUAUUAAACGAGCCGAACAGAGGCUGGCUCGUUAAAGUAUCCAGCCGAAAAUUCAGCUCGUGUUCGGCUGUUUAGCUCACGAGCGAACACGAGCUGGCUCACGAGCUGGCAAACGAACAAUAAAUUAAAAUGAUUAGAUUAAAUAUAUAUAAAAAAUAAAUUUAUCAAUCUUAUCCAUUAGACUUUGAUCUAAUAGUUAAAAUUUUACAUAUAAAUGAGUCUUUUUAUAAUUAAGCUCGCAUUUAUAUUUUUUUUUAGCUAAAAUAAAAUAAUAAAAUAUAUAUAUAUAUAAUUAUUUAUUUAUAUAUAAAAUAUAAAUUAAAUAAAUUAUAUAAAUAAAAAUAUAUGUAUUCGAGCUGUUAUCGAGGCGAACACGAGCGAGCUGACCUAGCUCUGUGUCGGCUCGUUUAUUAAACGAGCUGAAAAAUUCAGGUCGGUUCGGCUCGUUUACUAACAAGCGAGCCGAUUUGAGCUCAUUUCGAGCCGAACACGAGCUGGCUCGCGAACAGCGAGCUGGAUUGCCACCCCUAUUACUCAAUAUACUUUAAAAUUGAAUAAAAAUAUAUUUUUAAAAUUUUUCAUAUGUAAGAGACUAUUAUGCAAAUUAUGAAAAGUUGGGGGGCCAUACCAUGACCCCCUUCAGCCCCCACCACAUAGCUCCGCCCCUGCUUGAGCUCAAUAUUGUAUUGUUGACACUUAGCAUCUUUUAUAAGAACCAAUAUCCAAGCAAACUAUUUACACUUUCAUCUUUUAUAAGAACCAAUAUCCAAGCAAUCAAGAAAAGUUCGACAAUAAUGCAAGAUGUAAUUACCGAACCAACAAUCCAUUGUGGGACACAACGUGGUUUAAGUAUUGUCGUCUCGACCGGGGUGAUUAGAGGAAUCCUUGGAUCAGCUAAAAGACUUUACCGUCUCUAUUAACCAACUCAGAUUGUUCCAAUUAAGAAGCUUAAAGCUAAUAUGAGACGGGCGAUGAUCCUUAUUUCGAAUGAGUGUGCAAUUAAUGAUUCUUAAUUAGGACAAUCGAUCUCCUCGGCGCGUGCGGGACCGAGUUCGUUAGAACAACACUAAAUUGCAGGAAAGAACCAAGGAGGUACGAAAGGUGCUUCUACAGGCAUAUUAAAUCGCUUGAACCAUCCCAAAAACUUAAGUAAACAGAUACAGAAACUCUUUUACCUUUUCUGCUAGCUAUUUACCAAAGAGAAACUUCACACUUUUCUAAACAAAUAUUAUGCAGAGAAAGGCCAAAAACACUAUGAUUGUAAUAAAGACACAUGAAGAAAAGUAAAACUUGAACUUGUCGUAGGAAUAGGGAACGCACGAACUACUCCAGUAACAGUACAAACUAAUGCGGUCAAAGUUAGGCGCAAUAAAAACAAGAUACAUACAUGGUGUCCAUCACGAGCUACAUUAUCGAUCCAACCCAACCUUAUAUAUAUAUAUAUAUAUACAGUAAUAGCCGACAAUAUAUAUAUUUAUAUAUACAUAAGAUAAGAUAAUAUUACGUGGCGUUUACGUAGUGUGCAUGAAAAUUCUUUGGCUUUAUAAGGCUCUAUGGUGCUCAACUUUUAACCAACACAGUGGCACGAGAUAACGCGAUCGGAUGAGACCUAACUCUCCGUCCGCAUACUCGUUAGCCCAGUUGCAUGAAACCACCGCUACUUUGCUGAAGUUUUGCAGUGCGGAUAGGUACGUACGAAGCUCGUCCCUAUCCGGAGCGACCGCACGAGCUCUAUCCUAAACGGACGGCUGAGAUCUCUCCGCGGCAAUGCGCUGCAUCGUUUUCUCGUGCCUGUUCAGAACCGGAGGGGGGGUGGGGGGGGCGGGGGAGGGGAACAGUGUCGCAUGCGGACGGACGGCGCCUAACGCCAUUAAUAGGGAAAUGGUGGGGACCCACCUUAUCUACUUUUGGGCCCACUAACGGCUGUGAUCGAAGGGGGGAACGGUCGAUCACCGCCGUUGGUUCGCAUGCGGACAAAGUGGGGGAGUCAGGGGUGCGGUGCCCGCAUACAGUGGCCUGCUGCUAUAUUGGGAACAGUUAGGCGUGGUGGGGAAAUGCGCACAUUAGUCAAAAAGGCGCACCUUAUAGAUUUUUUUUUUUAUAUAUGUAUUUUAAUUUACAUUUAAUAAGUUAUUUAUGUUUAGGUGCUUCUAUAAUUUUUUUUAGAAAAAAGUUAUUUCCGUUUUAGGGUAGCGAGGAGUGUCUCCAUGUCGCGGACAGUGGAACCUACCCUACGUCCGCAUAGAGAGUUUUUAUAGGGUGAUUUGGAUGUCGAAGUUAACGUAAUCACGUAGCUACGUACCCUAUCUAGACAAAAAAAAUUUAUGCUGAAAUUACUCCUAAAAAUAGUUAUAAAUAAAAGGAGUUGUAGUGGUAAAAAUUAACGGCGUGCUAUGGGAUAUGCACAAUCGCGUAGGUAAUUUUUGUUCGUCCAUGUUGAUCUCAACAGCUCAUCCACCCUGCGUGGAGAUUCGUGCUUGAGCAUCUCCAAGCCAGCUAGAGGCAUGGUGUAACCUUAUCCAUACAUUAUCAAAAAAUUUUAAAAAAAAUAUUAAACUAAGCUCAUUUAAUAUUCAGGAUUAGUGGUUGGUACCGAAGAUCCAAGUUCGAAUCCUAGUUGAUUCACAUUUUCAGCUAAGUUUAUUUCUAAAAUGAAAUAAAAGAAGCGGGUAGCAUGGUACCUAUCUCUCAAAAAAAAAAAAAAAUAGAUCCCGAAAGUAAUUAUGCGUCAUAGCGGGUGAACCCGGUUAAUUUGUAGAAUGUCUACAUAAUAAUAAUAUAUUUUUUUUUUAAGAGAGAUAAGUAGCACGCUACCCGCUUCGUUUAUUUUAUUUAGAAAUAAACUUAGCUGGAAAGGUGAAUCAACUAAGAUUCGAACUUGGGUCCUGAGUACCAACCACCAAACUCUUUGUCACUUGCUCUAGGAAAGAGACUGUUGGUUAUAAUAAUGUAAAUUAUUACGCGGAAUGGUUGGGUUACAAAUUUUAAGACCUCUAUACCUGCAAGUUACUUAUGCUGACGUGGUGGACGUGGUUCAGGAUGGAAAACCAUGAGCAGGUGACGCCAGCGAGAUCGCGGGGCCCACCCCCGUGCUUUCUGUUUCGCGCGCCUCCAGCGCGUCAGUUCGGUGCCGUUUCCUUCCCGCCCUUUUCUUGCUCACGUAACUAUCCUGACAAUUUACUAUUUCUGGAAGCCAGUGCGGGCCCCACCCACCCCUUCUUCCACUCCAUGUGCGUAACAAUAUAUUUUUAUUUUAUAUAAAAAUAAAAAUUUUAAAUAUUUGAUUAAUAUGUAAUUACUAUAUUAUUUUGUUAUUUUUUUAAGAGAUAUAUUAUUAUUAUUAUUAUUUUAUUAAACUUUUUUCUCUUUUAUUUGGUGCAAUAAUUAGUUUGAGAUAAAUCUGACGUGGAAUAACUCCGUAGUGGAAAUGACUUUUUCACUUUCACUGAGUAUAUAUCUUUUAUUUAUAUUGCUAAUUUUUUAUCAAUAUAACUUUUUAUCCAGUCAUGUAACAUGGCCAUCAACUCCCUGUAUAUACACUAGUUAAAUUUUGAUUUAAAUGUCAAUAUAUUAGCAACAUAAAAGGAUAGUCGAUUAAAAAAAAAAAAGUGGAACUGAUACUGCUCUAGGCAGUAAUCAACUAUGCUUCCACUUUGUUUUCGAUGUUGGGACUUUCAAAUCGACGAUCGGCUCCGUUAGACUUGAUCUAGAGUAUUUGAAGUAUCUAGAAAAUAAAUUUUGCGAUUUUUCGAUAUCAUUUGCCUAGUGAUCGAAGUGGCUCAAAAUCAACGGCUGAAAAUAAAAAUCUCACAAAAUAUGAUGAUAUGACAUUAAAAUUUUAGAUCAAAGUUAUUGAUCUUGUUUUAUAUGGUAUAAAGAAUUUUCUAUCAAAAUUUCACGUGAUUUGGAUAUUUCUACACCGUUAAACUUGCAACCGGCUCACCACGGCCGUUAAAAUUAUUGAUUUUGAGCCCCUUCGAUCACUAGGCAAAUGAUAUCGAAAAAUCGCAAAAUUUAAUUUCUUGGUACUUUAAAUACUCUAGAUCAACUCUAACGGAGCCGAUCGUCGAUUCGAAAGUCCGAACAUCGAAAACAAAGUGUAAGCACGGAGGCCUCCGUGCUUACGAAAGCAUACCAGCCCACUCUAUAUAUAUAUAUAGUUGGGCUGGAAUAUUAUUAAUAGCAAAAAAAAUUUUUUGCUAUCAAAUUUUAACCAUUAGAUAAAAAAUUAUAAUAUUAGAAUAAUAUUAGUUCUUUAGGGUUGAGUGGUCCCCCUAGGAUUGAGUGGUCGCGAUUGGGUUAUAAUAUUUAAUCCAAUGGUUAGAAAUGACGAAAGGAAUUGAUCUAAAUGGUAAAAACUUGAUAGCAAAAAAGAUUUUUUGCUAUCAAUAAUAUUAUAGCCCAACUUUCUCUCUCUUUAUAUAUAUAGUUUGGCUGCUCUACUAAUUAACAAUAGUACUAAACUUUUGGUACAAUCGAGUUUCUACCGUUAGGUCUAUCCUUUGAUCAUUUUCAUCCGUUAGAUUAUAUUAUUUAAUCAACCACCACUCAAUCCUAGGAGACCACUAUCAUCCUAACCGCACACCCUUUUAUCUAACGGUCGAAAACUCGAUAGUAUUAAGCGCUUGAUAUUAUCGAUAAUAUAAUAACAUAAUUCUAUAUAUAUAUAUAUAUGAGCUCUUAUAAUUUUAGUGCCAAGUCAUUGAUACUCGUAGGUUUUCAAUCCUUCGAUUAAGAGAUAUGCAGUUAGGAUAAUAAUGAUCCCUUAGGAUUGAAUGGGUGGUUAGUUGAAUAGCACGAUUUAACGAGUGAAAUUAAUCAAGCUGUAGAUCUAACGACGAAAAACAUACAAGUACCAAGUCCUUGGUGCUUUUAAAAGCACUAUAGCCGAACUAUAUAUAUAUAUAUAUAUAUAUAUAUAUAUAUAUAUAUAUAUAUACUAAUUAGAAUUACGAGCAAGACCUGAUAUGUGCAAUUGAGAAACCACAAUAGAAAUGUAUUUUUAUUUAUUUUUGUAAAUAAUAACACGUCGCAUAAAAUCAAGCUAAUACAAUUAUGGUAUAAUUUUAUUUAUGCAAUCACACUGAACGUGGAGAAGUAUGGCUUCGUAUAUUGUCUUUAAAUUUACUUUGGCCGUAUAAUUAGAUCACAAUAGGUAAUGGUCCUUGGAAUUUUACUGCAACAAAGUUCUUACCCUAAAACAGAACCUUCACAGUUUAAUACAUUUAUAUAGAUUGUACAAAAUAUUAAUUAUUCUAGAUAUAACAAUUAUCUAUAGUGUUAUUUUAGAGUGUUUUGUUAAAUAAUAUUGCACCAUACACUAGCAUCAAAUGCAAAUAAAAUAUAGGAGUACCUCAAAAUCGAGAAAAUCUUCUUUGUCAGAGUUACACCAAAUAAAAAUUAUAAUAUUCAGCCAUAUUUUUUUUCAUAUUGCACAUAAUAACAAUCACAAUUAUUUUUUAAAUAUAUCAUUUUAUUAUCUAUUAUUGUAUUUUUUUUAUUAGACAUUUUGUCACUAUUACAGUAAAAACUUUUUUUUUUUAAUUAGAGUGGGACCCACGCCCUGAGAUCCAGCCAGCCAAUGGGGUCGCGCGCCAGGCUCCAGACUGGCAUCUCCGAAGAGCCCGAAAAGUACCCGAAACGCACGUGCGAGCGCCCACGUGUCACCGUGCCACAAUCGAUCUUAGCUCUUGCGUUGUACGCCAAGCGUUAUAAUAAUUAAUAAUAAUAAAUCUCAACACCAGAGCAUUAAUAAUUAGUUAACACCAAAAUUACAAACUGUCAUGUUGGUUAGCAUGCAUAUGGGAAGAUCAUCUGAGCAUUCGUACGCACGUGCCACGCUCUGAGAGCCAAAUUCUUGUUGAUUCUCAUGUGCGAUCAUCUUGUUACAUAAACAUAUAUAUUAAGUUCUAUGUUAAUCAAAUUCAGUAUAUGUGCCUCGACUGAUUAUAUAAAUUUAAAAUUUAUCUAAUAUAAUACGUAUGAAAUUAUCAUUUUAUUUAUUUCCGAAAGCUUAAUCGCCAAAUAAUAAUAUUUUAAUUACAGGUAGCAUCUAUAAGAUUAGAUUUUGAUUUUAAAUAGUUAAUCAUGUAAUAAUAAAAUCUGCAGUGCAUGAGAUGUACGGAUGCACUGGGACUAGAAUAUUAUUUUUCUGAUGAGAAAGAGAGAGGCCAACUGUAGCCAACGAGUGGAUCAGGGCCCUCCAGUGAAUGAUGGACGGUGUUGAUUGAGGGAGAAGCAAAGUGCCCGGUCCAGCGAGGGCGCCCCACGUUUCAUGGGGCGAGCACGAAACGUGUAAAUCCCUCGGAGCAAGGCCCACCGUACGAUCUGUGGGGCUCGGGCCCACCACAGUGAUCAUAAGCCGCCAGAUUAGCCCCCCCACACGCGCGCGCUCGGUAGGGGCCCUAACGUUUCGACGCGUGUGGUACAGUGGGGCCCGAGGUGGAGAGGAAAGGAGAGGUAAAAUUGUAUGGAAACCCCUCAACCAUAGAGUAUUUGGAAAUUGUACACAAAAGGAAACAUUUCUCUGUUUUAUUGAGAUCCCCUUAAAUAUCAAUUUUUGGAAAUUGAGUUUUUCUAACUCAUUUUAUUCAAAUAUUUUGUUAAGUUUAAUGGUCCUAUUAGCUUUUCAUUAGUACUUGUUUCAAUUUUAUUCGCUAAAUUUUUUAAAAAUAGUAAAUUUAAUAAAACUAUCAAUAAAUUUGAUAAAAUUCUCAAUUUUUUGAAAAAAAAAUAAUUUUCAAAAUUACACGUUCAAGUGGUCUCAAUAAAAAAAAAUGGUUAGGAGAUCCAUUCAAAAUAGCUCAUAAUUGAGGGUGUCUCCGUACAUUUUUAUAGAAAAAAAAAUAAAUUGUUAGAGAAAUUAAAGGAGCAAUCCUGUUUGUACAUCUAGAGUCUCGGUAUACAUCUUACACCAUAGAUUUUUUAUGACUAGGCCAUAGAAUUACUUUAUUAGUCUUAUUAAUUUUUUUGCUAAAAAAAUGUUAGGAAUUUUCUAAAUAGAAUGUAAGAUGUAUAUUCCUAUAUAAGAUGCACAGAUAGAAUUUUUCAUAUAAAAGAUGUUAUUUUAUAUUAUUUGUGAUAGUAAAAAGAAAAAAGAUGGCUGUUGAAAAUUUUUAAGAAAAAUAUUUUUUUAUAAUUCUAACAGUUAGAACAUUUGGAGAGACAUAUUUAUAAUAGCAAAAAUAUCAUUUCACUUAUUUUCUCUUAAAAGAUGAACAUUACCUUAACGAUAAUAUAAUAAAUCAAAAGGAUAAAUAUAAAUAUCGCUGAACUUUUGUAUGAAUAAAUAUGAAAAAUUAAAUUUUGUAGGAAAAUAUAUAUUUGCUAUUUGAUAUAUUUACAUGAAUCUGUAUGAAAGUAACCCAUAGGCAUUUGUGGAACUAAUAAAAGUUAAAAUGAAUAAAAGUUGCUAAGAUAUUAUUAGUAGAAAGAAAUAAAGUGUAAAGGUCUCUUUUCAAAUUAACCUGUAACUGAGGGUUGAGGGACUCUGGUAGCAUUUUUACCAAACUUACCAGCAAUGAAUCACGAUAUAAUGGUUGGAGAAACGGUGGCCAAAGUGUUACGGGGUAGGGAAAAACGUACGGUGAUUAAAGCACAACUAAUGGAAUUAAUGGUUAGUUAGGUUAGGUUUAAAAUUUCUGCUUUUGACAUGUGUUCUCAUAUAAAGUUCCAACAAAAAGAAAAAAGAAAAAAAAAGGAAAUUUUGCCACCAACUAUAAAGGUCAAAUUGUUAAGCAAGAAAGGGAAUUAAGGAGUCAGCUAAUAGAGAUCGGUCACGUUGUGGCCAACUGUUGUGGAGUUUUUUUUUUUUUUUGAAAAAAAAAUAAUAAUCUUUUUCUAUUUUGUUUAUAAAGUGCCCCACCACUUUGCAAAUUAGAAUUUUUUUUAAGAAAAAUUUAUUUGGAGAACAUUUAUACUUUUAUUUCAGAAUGGACUAUAUAAUAAAGAAUAAAAGGAAUAUGACAAUGGCGGUAAAAAAAAGAUAUGUUUUGGAGGUUCAAAAUUUUUUUCAUAUAUAAUAAAGCGUUGUUAAAAGAAGAAUAAAAUAGCUAAGCUAGCUAGGUAAUAAACAGUAGUGAACAUCCUUAUCAAGUGAUUUUUUUUUUUUUUUUUGUUGCUUUAUAUUUAUGGGAUGUAUGAGAAAGGAAUAUGAAAAUUAGACCUAGGCAGCAAGGCUAGCCUUUUUGCCAAUUCAAAAAAAAAAAAGAAGGAAAAGAAAAGAAAAGAAAAGAAAAGAAAGGAAAAAACGGCCGAUUAAAUUAAUACUCGAAAUCGCACUUUCCCGCAUAUAUUAAUAGCUCCUCCUCACUGGUAACCCCAUCCCCUCCUCAAAGUCCUCAUUCAAAGGAGCCAAACACACACCACGGAGAGAGAGAGAGGGGGAGGGAGAAAGAGUUUAUAGAGAGUUGCAAUUAAGGAGAGCUAGAGAAACAGAGAGCUCUCUAAAGCUCCUCUCUCUCUCUCUGUCUCCAUCUCUCUCUGUUUUUGCCUCCCUGUAGAAGCAGAGCACCAUUCGUGAACCCCGCAAAAGGGCAACAUCUCUGAAGCGCGAAUCGACGAAACCCAGCAAGCAAAAAGAGUCCACCUUUGCGCCCAAUUCGAAUACUCCGCCUAUUGCAGCAGCAGCAGCUGCUGCUGCUGUGUGCAACAACACGACCUUCCCCGCCGCGUCCAUGGCGAACCCGGAGAAAGCCCAACUCCCCUCCAACCUGUACGUGGCCCUGGUCCCCUUCCCCGACGCUGCCCCGCUGAAGCCGCCAAGCUUCCCCACGCUGUCGGAGACGCUGGGGGAGGUGGCGUCCCUGUUCCGGCUCUCGCUCCCCAUUGCGGUGACGGCGCUGCUGCUCUACUCGCGCUCCGUGGUGUCGAUGGUGUUCCUCGGGACCCUCGGCGAGCUCCCGCUCGCGGCGGGCUCGCUGGCCAUCGCCUUCGCGAACAUCACGGGCUACUCGGUGCUCUCCGGGCUGGCCCUGGGCAUGGAGCCGCUGUGCUCGCAGGCGUUCGGGGCGAACCAGCCCAGGCUCCUGGCCCUCACCCUCCACCGCUCCGUGCUCUUCCUCCUCUGCUCCGCGCUGCCCAUCGCCCUGCUCUGGCUCCACACGGCCCAGAUCCUCCGCCUGCUGGGGCAGGACCCGGACAUCGCCCGCCUCGCCCAGAGCUACCUCCGCUUCUCCCUCCCGGACCUCCUCUCCUUCUCGCUCAUCCACCCCGUCCGCAUCUACCUCCGCUCCCAGGGGAUCACGGCGCCCGUCACCGCCGCCGCCGCCGCCGCCGCCGCGCUCCACGUCCCGGCCAACCUGCUCCUCGUGCGCCGGCUCUCACUCGGCGCCCCCGGGGUCGCCGCCGCCGCCGCCGCCUCCAACCUGGCCCUGCUUCUCUUCCUCCUCUGCUCCCUCCGCCGCGACCCGGCCCUGCAGCGCCGGGGCGGGGGCUGGGGCUGGGGCGAGCGCCUCUCCGGGUGGGGGCCCCUGGCGCGGCUGGCGGGGCCGAGCUGCGUGUCGGUGUGCCUCGAGUGGUGGUGGUACGAGCUGAUGAUCCUCCUCUGCGGCCUCCUCCCGGACCCCAAGCCCACCGUGGCCGCCAUGGGCGUGCUCAUCCAGACCACGGCGCUCGUCUACGUCUUCCCCUCCUCGCUCGGCUUCGGCGUGUCCACGCGCGUCGGCAACGAGCUCGGCGCCAACCGCCCCGCGCGCGCGCGCGCCGCCGCCGCCACGGGGCUCGCGUGCGGCUUCGCCGCGGGGCUCGCCGCCAUGGCCUUCGCCCUCGCCGUCCGCGCCCGCUGGGCCCGCAUGUUCACCGACGACGCCGACAUCCUGCGCCUCACGGCCGCCGCGCUCCCCAUCGUCGGGCUGUGCGAGCUCGGCAACUGCCCCCAGACCGUGGGCUGCGGCGUCCUCCGCGGCACCGCGCGCCCGGCCCACGCCGCCCAAGUCAACCUCGGCGCCUUCUACCUCGUGGGCGCCCCCGUCGCCGUGGGCCUGGGCUUCGGCCUCGGCGUGGGCUUCUGCGGCCUCUGGAUGGGCCUGCUCGCGGCCCAGGUCUGCUGCGCCGGCCUCAUGCUCUACGUCGUCUGGACCACCGACCGCAGGCGCGCCGGGCCCAGCUGCUCACGUCCGCGCCCGCCCCCGCCCCCGCCCCCGCCCCGGACGUCGAGAAGGCCGGGGCGAUGCUGAUUGGCCCGGAGCCCCAGGAGGGAGGAGACAAGGUGAGCUGCUACCAGCCGCUGAUCUCGAUCAGGACGGUGGUGGAGAUCGAGAGAGGAUGAUGAUGAUUUGUAAUAAUGUAAUGUAACCUAUCUACGACACUCUGCUGCGCUCUUACCGCGUGGAACGAUAUGAGAGACCAAGAGCGAGAGCGAGAUUUUUUUUUUUUUUUAUUUUUCUAUUUUUUUUUUCUCCUAGCUUGUUUUUAAAUUUGAUGGGGGAUUAUUGAUGAGGGUGACUUAAUUACAAGGAAUUAUUACUUAAUUCACAUGGUUUGGGGUUUUCCCUUUUUUUUCUUUUUAAUUUGACUCGAGUAAUUCAAAAGUUCACUUUUUGAAUUUGCUGUACAUUUUUAUAAUAAUGCUCGUGAAUUUACAGCAAAGACAUGUGAGAAUGAAUGGUUCACUUUCUAAUUAUUUUCCCCUGAAGUUUUAGUCCUGCAAAAUAUGCCAAACAUAUUUUUCGUACUAUUAUUUCUCGUUAAUUAAUUAGUAACGUGUUUCAUUUAUUGUACUUAACAAACGAGGCGGUAAACAAGGUCCAUGCAAUAAUUUUACGUUACACCAAAAGGUGAACAUGUAUAUUCGUUGAAGCCCGAAUGCGUAAACUAUAAUAUUUAUCACACGUCUCUCGAUCCUCACGUUUCCAUCCGGUGGAGGUUUUCAUAUACAGGGCAAAGUUGAUUAUGAAAUGCUUCUUUAAUUUGCGCACGACGUUGAUUGAUUCGCAAUCAUCCAAACGUUGUUCGGCAAAUAAACUACAUCAUCUUUUGUAGUUCCACGCAUGUGUAUCUUGCUUCAACACGAGGAUUUGCUUUUGUUAGUUCACAACGUUUCGUAUGCCACUUCGUGCCAAUGAGUGGCAUCUACUAAUCAAUCAUGAUUAACGUUUGUUCUCAUUGCUAUUUACUGUUAAAUUAAAUAAAACAAUAAUUAUUUUUUAAAAACUUAAAACUGUUUUAUUGUAUAUUCAAAACUUCCUCUAAUUGGUUUGAGACAUUUUGAUAGGUAGAUUUAAUACACGAAAUUAAAUUAAAUUAAAUAGCUGGUAGAGCUCGAAUUAAAACCUUCUGCUCUGAUAUUACUUGUAAAAUAUAAAUAUCUAAAAUUUACAAUCUAAUCCGUCUUUAAUUAGUGAAAAAGCAGAUCGAGAUGCUUACAUCAUUAUAUUGAGCUAAGAAAUCAUCUAUUUGCUGAAUUAUUUUAUUAUCGUUGAUUUUAUGGGUAAGUCAUGUCCUGCCGUUUCGACAAUAUUUCUAGAGAAAGGCUUCUUAUGGCUUGCGGAGUAUCUCGAAUUCAAAAUCCUCUCCAUCCAAUUAAGUUUAUAUACAUCUUCUAGAUUUAAAGUAGUUUACAUUAAAAUUACAAAUUUUGUUUUAAAAUCAGCAACUUUAUAUUACCUUCUCAGUACAAACAGACACUCAAAAGCAAUUAUCUAUCAUCAUACACGUGGCUUGUUUGACUUUUAGGGCAUGUUUGUUUUGGUGUAAGUGGAGUGAUGAAACUCAAGUUCUAUUACUUCCGUUAUUUGUUUUGGUGUAAGUGAAAAAUAUAACGUAACUCAAGUUACGUAAGACCUCCACUUCACCUACUCUCGACUUCCUCUUUUGAAGUGCCGAACUCAACUUCCACCACACUCAACCUCCUCUAAAAUAUUUAUUAAACAGUAAAACCUAAACUCUACUUCCCUUAUAAUAGAUUAGAAUUACCUUAUUUAUAAUAAAUUAGGAUUAUCUUUAAAUAAUAAUAAAAAAAUUAAUUAUAUAAUAAGUUAAAUUUUAUAGCAGUAAAUUUACUAUUAUGUUUAGAAGAUAAUGGGAUCCACUUAUAUCAAAACAAACAACGGAACUUACAAAACUAAUUUCGCCAGCACCAAGUUACAUCAAAACAAACAGAAGAAAUAAUUGAAUUUAACUUUCAGGCUAUACGAGUUACGUCAAAACAAACAACCAAAAAAUAAUUACACUUCAGGGAAACUCAAACACCACUGCACUUGACUUACGUUGGAUCUACAGAUUCGUCAAUCCAAACGGACCCUUAUAGUAGAGAAGCUAUCCCAAAAUUUUGACACGAUUAUCAUGACUCAUGACUAUAUAGAGUCCGCCUAUGAUACUUGUAAAAGCGCUUAUAAUUUUUUUAUCGUUAAAUCUACAUUUUUGAUCAUUUUUAUCUAUUAAAUUAUACUAUUCAACCAACCACCCACUCAACUCUUAGAAGGCCCACAUCAUCCUAACUUCACAUUCCUUAAUCAAAGGGCCGAAAACUUACAAGUACCAAUGACUUGGUACUUUUAAAAGUAUAGGAGCUCAAUUUUGACUAUAUAUAUAUAUAUAGAAUUAGGCUGGAAUACUAUUAAUAGUAAAACGCUCUUUUUGCUAUCAAGUUUUUAAUCCUUGGAUGAAACAUUGUAAGGUCGGGAUGAUAUUAGUCGGUUAGAGUUGAGUGGUCCCCCUAAGNCUCACCAGGGGGAUCCCAACUCACCAGGGAUAACCCAAUAUCAUAAAUUAGGUUACCAAUCUUUAUUACUUUUCUCAACUAGGUUUCCGAUUUUUUGACCAUCGUUAUUACCCUAAAACGAUGAUUAUCAUCGGGUCAGGUUGAGAGAGAGAGCAGAGUAGAGAGAGAUAUAUAUAUAUAUCAUCUCGAUGAUAUGAUAGCCUUCGUAUCUCCUAGAGCACGAAGGUUAAAAAACCGAGAAUCUAGUCAGGAAAAUUAGUAAAGAUUAUAAACUUAAUUAUAAUAAUAGGAUGCCCCUGGUGAGUUAAGAUCCCCCCUAGCAUUAAUAAGAUUAGUAUGUUAAGAACUAGGUUACCAGUUUUUUUAACUUUCAUAAUUUAAGAAAUAUAAAAGCGAUUGUAUAUAUAUAUAUAUAUAUAUAUAUAUAUAUAUCACUCUCUCUCUCUCUCUCUCUCUCUCAGGCCGAUCUCAGGCCGAUGAUAUGAUAACUAUCAUGGUUCGGAAACCAUGAUAACUCAAAAGAUGGUAAUCUAGAUGAGAAACUAGUAAAGGUAGGCAAUCUAAUAUGAUAAUUUGGUUGGUGGGUGAGUUGAGAUCCCCUGGUAAUAGUAGGAUUGGCGUGUAGGAAAGUAGGUUGUCGAUUUUUGAGUUAUCAUGAUGCCCGAACCAUGAUAACUAUCAUAUCAUCGUAUUAAGAUAUAUAUAUAUAUAUAUAUAACUCUAACCGACUAAUAUCAUCCUGACCCUACAAUUUUUCAUCCAAGGGUUAAAAACUUGGUAGCAAAAAGAGCGUUUUACUAUUAGUAGUAUUCCAGCCUAAUUCACUAUAUAUAUAUAUUUUAUAUAUAUUAUAUUUUUAUGAGUAUAGAGUCAUUCGUACUCAUAAGUUAUUUUCGAUGAUAGAGCUUCUAAAUCGACGAUCCACUCCGUUAAAUAUGAUUUAGAAUAUUUAAAACUUUUAAAAAAUAAAUUUCAUAAUUUUUCAAAAUUAUAAUAAAGUCCAUCAAGCGGGCAUAAAAUAAACAGUUAAAAUCAAACGACGUCCUAAAAAUAAAUGAUCUGAUCCUUCAAUUUAAGAUCUAAGGUAUUGAUCUUUAUCUAGAUAAUGAAUAGAAUUUUCUAUAAAAAAUUCAACCGAUUCCGAUUCUUUUACACCGUUAACCUAGUAAAUAUCUCAUACCGACCGUUAAAAAAUAUUAAUUUUAAAAUCUUUUGAUCACAAGGUAAAUAACAUUAAAAAAUUAUAAAAUUUGAUUUCUAUAUGUUUUAAAUACUCUAAAUAAUAUUUACUGGUAUGAAUCGUCAAUUUGAAAGCUUUAUUAUCGAAAACGAUUAUACUUAUAAAAGUAUAGUAGCCAGAUUUUAUAUAUAUAUAUAUAUAUAUAUAUAUAUAUAUAUAUAUAUAUAUAUAUAUAUAUAUAUAUAUAUAUAAAACUUUUAGAAUCCUAUCAAAAUCAAUUUCAAUAUCAAGCAUGUGUUUACCCAUUUGGGUCUCAUUAUCUCAAGUUUAAUCAUGUAGUUUAUUGUUCUCGUUUCCGGGUCAAAUCAAUUGAGUAGUUACACAAUGAAUGCAACACUUCGUGGGAUUCCCGGUAGGAAGGGAAACAAUCACGUGCACCACCACGCAUUUGAAUCAAUGUACAUCACAUUCUUAUUUUUCUUUUAUUUUUUUUCUUAAUAAUAAUCUCUCUCUUUAAGUUAUAUCAAUCGAUAACCCCCCUCCUUUUCGUUCCCUAAGUAGACGUUCUAGCUUCCCCUCACAUGAACAAACAUACAAAUUUUCAUCACCUUUCCCCCCUCAUCUUUCAUUUUCACAAAGCUAUUACAUAUUACCUGCACCAGAUGUGUCCAUAUAUAUCGCGAGCACCGUACCAGAUUCAAAAUUAAAAUCUAAUUCAAUUAAUAAACGUGAUUUACGUUAUCUAUAUGGUUAGAAAAUAUACUAUAUUAAGUAGUUUUACAAUUCAAGAAUAUAGAAAAAGAAAUAUCGCUUGAUUUACGGUCUUAUUUAAUUUAACGCAUAAAUAUCUUAUUCCGCAAAUUUUCUUUGGUUAAUUUACUCGAAAACCUCCUGAGUGUGAUCAAAAAUCUAAAAUAGUAUAUAAUAUUUAGAUUUUAAAUUAUUUUUUAAAAUAAAAUAAAUUGAUUUGUAUGCAAGUAAAAUAUGCUAUUCUGCCAAAUAGUGGAUGCCACGACAGCUUUCAAGUAGUAAAAAAGUUGAUUCUUGCCUUUCUAUUAUCAAAAAAAUAAAAUAAAAUCAUCCCGACGUCCAAAUACAACCUAUAAGAAAUUAUAUAAUGCCCAAGAUUAUAGUUUUUCAUAUGCAUAUAGUGCGUCAAAUAAGUUUGCAGGUUGUAAUUUGAGAUCUCUAUUGUACAGUUUUAGGAGCGCGAUAUAUGAGAUGUACUUACACACUCAGUGUAGACAAAUUUUUUUUUUUUUUUUUUCCCCUCUCUCUAACUCUCCUUUUUCUCUCUCUAUGGUCCCCCUACUCAACAAUUGUGCUUUAAACACUACGUACUAUAAAUAACACCCAGCUCCCUGGCACCAGACACGCAUGAUACUACACGAUUUGCUGGACCCUUUCCCAACAGUUUUAGUUAACAGGUUACAUCAAUUUUGGUGAGAGAGGAUCAAACCUGAUUAUUCAGGGAAAGUGAUAUAAAUAUAGUUUUAGAACUCAUGAAAUGAGGUCAAAUUUAGCAGGUAAAUAAUGACCAUGUUCAAUUAUUAUUCCUGUUAAUAUUAAAAUUAGCUCUGUAUGUUGAUAAAUACGGUCAUGUAUACGUAUUUCCAUAUAAAAUAUGUAUAUGCGAAGCCUCCGAAUUAUUGAUAUUACAGCUCGAUCAUUGUAUUUUUUAUCUAAAUACUUCGGUUGCGAUACAUUUACAAAUAUUUUUCUGUAGUCCUUGGCCAGUUUAAGAAUUAAAGUAUUCAAGUAAAAAGUAGGACCAAGUUGCAUUUUUUAGAUAACACAAUGAUUAUCCCAUACGCUUCGCCCACUUGUUUAGGCAUGAUUAAUGAGGUGAUUUAACUUGUUCUUUAGCUUUAGGUCUCAAUCUUUAAUAGCUUUGGCCUAAUUUCCUGAUUUUCGUAUAAUGACGACCGAAAAAAAGUGAGCCAUGCAUUAUUGCAUGUACAACUUGUAUAUAUGAAAGUGAUUACAUUUAUUUUUUAAGCAUGCAGUGUCCAUGGUUCCCAACGAAUUAUAAGUGCCAUUUUUACAAAUAAUUAACUUUUAGGUUUGAAGGUAAAUAUAUUAACUAUUAAGAUGGAUUUCAUUAAAAAGAAAAAAAAAAAACUACUAAGAUGGAUAAAAUGAUAGGGCUAAAUUUUGCACUAUAUAUUAUUAUUCCGACGGUAAGAUAUCUAUACUUAGCUUUGUAACUGUUGAGAAAUUUGUUUGGUUGCUGAAAAAAUAAUAUGCAAGCUAUAUAUAAAAGCCUCUUAUUUUGUUUGCUAUAUAUGUGCCAAACAAGCGAAUAUUUGCUUAAUUUACAGCGAAAUUAGAAAUUUAUUGUUUGGUCUCUGAGAUAAUAAUAUAUAAGCCAUAAUUAAGUAAUUGUAAUUAUUAUUAUUAUUAUUAUUAUUAUUGAGAGAGGUGAACAUGUGACAGGGGAAGCUGGGACGUCCAUUUAUGGAAAGCAACGGGGGGGAUUUACGCGGAGCACGUGGGGCGAUCGAUUGAGAUGGACGCAUGUGAUUGCCUCCCCUCCAACCGGAUCCCCUGAAAAGGACCCAUUUACUCAUUUUGGACCCUCCAUUAUUAUUUGAUGUUAUUUUCGUAUUAAUUUCGAGGAUCCCAUCAAUGUGAACGUUACUCUUUUAGGUGAUGUUUGGUUAAAUGUUAUUUAUUAGCAUUUGAUUUGAUAUAAAGUAAAAUAGAUUUUUAGGCAUAUAUAUCUAUUUGAUUUUUAGGUUAAAAAAAAAAAAACGAGAGAGAGAGAGAGAGAGAGGUGCGAAGUGUGCAUCUUGCCCAAAUGCAUGGAAAAAAGUUGGAAAAUUAAAAUAAGUGUUUUUUUUUUUUGUGGAAAUACUUAAGUCUAGUUUAAACUAGAAGUAUUUUACAUGGAAACAAUUGCUUGAAAAUUUUUUUUUUAUUUGUCAAUCUGAAAACUUUUCUCGUGCCUCAUUUACGUGUAACCAAGGUCUUGAUGGUUGAUACUUAAGGUCCCAAGUUCGAAUCCUAAUUAAUUUAUAUUUUCAGCUAAAUUUAUUUCUAAAUGAAAUAAACGAAACGGUUAGCGUACUAUCUAUCUCUCAAAAAAAAAAAAGAAAAGGCAUUGCACGCCUUAGCAUGAAUUGACCAUUUUAGUUAGCUCUGGAUUGCAGUUGAGACAUUCAGUGAUAAUUUAUAUUAAUCCUUUAUUAGGUUUCUUGUUACCGUAAAAAAAAACAUCGUGCGCCAUGUUAUUUAUUCAUAUGAUAGAGAGGACGCAGCAGAAAAUAUUUCUACUACUUUGCUAAGCACGGUCUUAUUAAGUUGCCAAUUAAAACCAAAAAACAUGAAUGAAUAUCACCAUGAAUAACCCUACUUAAUUUGUGGAGACAAUAUUUCCAAAAGAUUUAAAGAAAUAGUGCCAUUAUUUAAUUGUAGUUACUUAAUUUACUGUCCAUACACUUUCAACUAUCUCUCAAUUAAACGCUAUAAAAAUAAUAGUUGAAGCUUGCAACAAGUAUAUAUAUAUAUAGAGAGUUGAGCUGAAAUGCUAUCGGUAGCAAAUUAGCUCCAUUGCCACCCAUUUGUUUUCGAUGAUGGAGUCCUUAAAUUGACGAUCGGCACCGUUAAACAUGAUCUAUACCACUUGAAGUAUCAAGAAACCAAAUUUCAAAUUAUUUCGACAUCAUUAACCUAAUGAUCAAAGGAUUUCAAAAUUUAUAAUUUUAAUGGUAGAUAUGAGGCGUUUUCUUGUUUAACGGUGUAAACCUAUCCAAAUCAAUUGAAUUUUGGUUAGAAAAUUCUUUAAAUUAUUUAGAAUAAGAUCUAUACUCUCGAUCUUGAUUACAAAAUUCUUAUCAUCACUUUUUAGAGUAUAUUUAUUUUCAGCCGUUUAUUUUUACGCCCACUUGAUGGACAAGAGAACAAAUUGAAAAAGAAUGAAAUUUGAUUUCUAGAUAUUUUAUGUGGUAUAGAUCAUAUUCAACGAUGCCGAUCAUCGAUUUGGAGGCUCCAUCAUCGAAAACCAAUUGGUGACAACGGAGCCCGUUUGCUACCGAUAGUAUUCUAGCUCAACUAUAUAUAUAUAUAUAUAUAUUUUGAACUAAUCAACAACAGCAUACAAAUUAAAAAGGUGGUUUGGAUUCAUUUAUGUUGAAUAUUGCAUCAGCCCUAUUAAAUGAGCCACUGCAUUAAGAGUCACAAAUUGGCUACGAUGCUUGGCAACUUGUAUUAAAUUAGGUCCCUGUAAUAUUUGACAAAAUCCAAACUACACUAAAUGGUGAUGACGUGCAUUUAACUGUCUCACUUAAUAUUCAUUUUUUUUAAAAAAAACUAUAUAUCUCAUUCGAGAGAAUGCAAAUGCAAUCCACAAAUUUGAACUUAAUUACUACACGUUGUAAUCACGAAUGAGUAUUAAAUAUAUAAUAAACUCCAAACUAUAUAUAUUUUUGUUAAGAACAAAGACAAAUAUAAGUUAAUGUUAAUAUAAUAUCAGAUUUAUUCUAAGUGUGUACAACUAGCUAGCUAGAUAUACAUAUACCACUAAUUAAUAAAUUACUAAUUAAUAAAUUAAUGAUUCAUCAAAAGCUCUACUUAACCUACAAUACGAAGCCUGUAAAAGUUACGCUUGUAUGUAUAGUACUAUUUCGUGUGGCAAAUGGCCAAACUUCAACUUGUUUUAUUAUUAUUAUUAUUACUAUUAUUAUUAUCAUCUUACAUCUUUUUUUUUUGUCAAAUUGAUAAAUUCAACCCUAAAUCACUUUCAUGGUCCUUUCAUCAAUCACUUAGGAAGUGUCUUUCAUUUUAUAUUCAACAUCUUUUUCUAAACUCGAUCAGUUUAUUAAGUGAAUCAUACCUUAGAGAAAUUAAAUAAGCUAGCUUUGCCCUUUGAAACUAUGGAGAAUAUUUUCUUUUUUCACCUUUUUUUACUGAUCAGUACAUGCACUAGAUUACUUAAUUGGGUUCUCCACCAGUCGUACGCCAAAGUGUAUUACGAAUCCUAUGGCUUUGCUUUAUCUAAAUUAACCAACAUAAUUUUAUUGGUAAAGCUCUAUUGAUAGGUCGUUAAUUAGUGGUACAUAGGACCUAUUUUAAUUUGAUCUAUGACAUGCUUCAGCAGACACAUUUAUGGUCCAAUACAUUGAAUUCAAGCUAUAUAUAUAUAAUUACUUGAUCAAAUGUGCGACCUGGGGUCCCAUAAAAUUUUCUAAUGGAAAUAUCUUCGAUCGAUCGCCUCUCUAUAGGUUGCUAGGGUGGGCAUAUGGCUCCCAUUCUUGCAUGUUGGAGAGACACAAAGUAAGACAUAUUCAUGCAUCCCUCACCAUUAUGCUCCUCGAUCACAUGGUUGGCAAAAGUGUUAUCCUUUCCUUUCAACUAAGAUAUCAUUAUUUUGCAGUGUGAGAGCACUCAUUGGUUUCAUGAUGCAUGAUCAAUAUUUUGGGGUAUUCCUCAACCAUGCAUGAUGAUGGCCUAUAAUUAAGCUCCAUUCAUGAUGAUAACCAUAAAAAAGCAAUGUAUGUCUCUAUCACUUUCCUCACUCUAUGGGCAUGUUUGGGGCUGGGUAUGGAAUGAAGGACAAGAGAGGUGGGCAUAGCAUUGAGUUUGCCAACCCAAGGUGCAGCAUAAGAGCAAACACUAUCUCAAUCAUAUAGGAACUGGGGUGUCCUUACAUGUGAUUGGUGAAAUGUAUAGCUAAGGAUGAGCUCAUUUAAUUUGAAUAAAAAUAGAUAUAGCUAAGGAGGAGAAGCAACUUACUAGCUCAACUUGGCAUAUGUACAUCUCUAUUUCAUGACUCUAGCUAGCUACCUACUCCUUUGGGUUUGAAUCAUGGUCCACUUUUGUUCCCCCCCAGAAAAAAAAAGAAAAAAGUAAGCCACUAUUGGCAAAGCCUUACUCUUUGUAAUAGGUAUUCUAUGUUAUGCUUAUAGAGGCUUAAUUAUGAGAUAAUAAAAAUUUAAUUAUUACAAGGACAAUGUGAAGUAUCUCCCAAAAGAAAAAAAGAAAUUGUUUAUGAAAUUUUCUAUAAUUUGGAAUGAGAAACAACUUAGGUCCUCCACAAUAUUGCAACAAAUUAAAGAUAUUAUAAUGUUUUUAAAAUGGGUUCAUAAAUUAAUCAUAAGUCAUUAUAUUAGACACCAAUAUAUAAUAAUAUAUAAAUAUAAUAUUAUAAGGCAUCACCGGCCGUCCCUAGAGCAAGUGACAAAGGGCUUGGUGGUUGGUACCCGAGACCCAAGUUGGAAUCCUAGUUGAUUUACAUUUCCAGCUAAGUUUAUUUCUAGAUGAAAUAAACAAAGCAGGUACCAUGCUAAUUGCUACCUAUCUCUCAAUAUAUAUAUAUAUAUAUAUAUAUAUAUAUAUAUAUAUUAAGGCAUCAGCAAGCGCGACACUGUUCACUUAUAAAUAUUGGAUUUGAUUGUUAUUAUUCAUAUAUAAUAAAUGGAUGGAAUAACUACUACUGAAAAUGACUUUUCGACAAAUAUGGUUGGCGCAAGAGAUCGGAAGGAGAGAGGUCGAGGCUAUAGCAAGUACAAAGCAGUAAACUAACUAGAACAAAGUACACAAGGAACAAAAUCUAAUAUACAACGUGCAUGCCAUGCACAUAAAAAAAAAAAAAGGACAAAAAAAGCAAAAAGGGUGUAGUAAGUACCCAACAUUUUAGGGGCAAGGUUAAAGCUUGCAUCAUGCGUGAACAUGGUGAACUUAACAACCGACAUAUACACAAUUCAUGAUCAGUCCUCGGAACUUGGAUCGUACGUACUAGCCAAUGCAAUUAUAAGCUAAUAAAACUUUAUAUGCCUAGAUCAAAUAAAAGCGAGAUUAAGAUAAAGCCCAGUUGCCAAAAGAAAAAAAGCAUUGAAACCGUACAAGUUUCAUAAAAUAAUCAGAUCGAUUCAUGUGGAUAUCAUGGAACCCACCGUAAAUCCUUACUACGUUUUGUGGAAUAAAAUUUGGUGAAUUAUGCUACGCAUGCAUCACUGCUUAUUAUUGUGUAUGUGAUAUUGUUGAUGAGUUAACACCUUUCCGAAUUAUCUGCAAAAUCUGUAUUUAUAGGUUUUAGUUUUGCUUUGGUUGUAAUCUUGUUUGGCAUUUGAUUUAUUUAUGUCUUGAAUCAAAUACCAAAUACCAAGUUCACUGGGUAAAAAAGGAAAAGCAAAAAAAAAAAAGAAAAAGAAAAAGAAAAGAGCAACACAAAGAUAUGGGCCCUGGCCCAGUUAACAACCGAAGGUUUGUCCAUGGGUAGUGUCUUAGCCCAGUUAUAACCACAAAGUUAUGGGUCUUUUACACUUUGGGUCCAAAGCCAUGUAAAUGAUGGCCCAUUAAUAGCAGAUGUAAUAUCAUGGGUCGGUUCAUCUUACCAAUUUGUUUCUCUUAUAGUCGGCAAGUGCCGGUGCUUCGCCGCCGAAUUCUCCUUGCAGCGACGUAAACCGCAAAACGAAUGCUGUAUGUCUAGGGUUUCCCCAUCGCACUUUCCCCUUUCCUUUCUCCACUGGCUCACUGCGAAGAUGUAUAGAUCAAAACAAAGGUAUUAUUGUUUAAUUUUUCUUUUAUUAAUUCAUAUAUCGCCGUUAAAUUCGUGAAUUAUUAGUAAUUUUUUUGUUUUCGAUCAUCUUAAUCCUCCAAAUUCGCAUGGCCUUUAGAUAAUUUAAGCUACAUAGGUGUUGUUUUUCGCACUAGCUAGUCUCUGAUAAGUCUGUUUCUCCUAUUAUACAUAAUGUUAUGAUUUAGCAAAAAGUUUAAUAGGAAUAACUAUUUUAUUCCUAUUAAACUUUCUCAUUUGAUCUCCGCAUAAUUAUAUGCGUAAGAACAACGAUGAAAGAGUAGGAAAUGUUCUUUACCAGUUGCAGUUGCCUCUGUAACCAUUUGCUUUGUUCUCUUUUUUUUUCUUUUUUUUUUUUUUUUGAGAGAUAGAUAGUAUGCUACACGUUACGCUUAUUUUAUCUAAAAAUAAAUUUAACUGAAAAUGUGAAUCAAUUAGAAUUCGAACUUAAGAUCUCGGAUAUCAACAAUCAAGUCAUUUCCCACUUGCGCUAGGGACGGUCGAUUUCUCUUAAAUUGUUGAAACUAGUGUUUUUAACAGCUCGACCGCCACAUCAGCGACCGUGGACAACGGCUCUGGAAUUGAAAUGCUUCGUUUUACUCUUCAAUGUCAGGAGAACGAGAGGUAUGGAAAAUUUUUGAUAAAAUUACAGUUCAAGGCGACGGUAAAUCUCUUCCUAUCUUUCAUCCUUCUGCUAAGGAUUGUUUGCAAGCUAAGCCUGAGCUUACUAACAAUUUGUUUGGUAUUUAUCCGAAUCAAGUUGCAUUUUCUAAGGACAUAUAGUAGUUGAAUGGGGAGUUUUUAUCAUGCUAUUUCUAACUCAUUGUUCGCCGUGAUGCUAGUCCGAUGUCGCCGAUCACACCAGGUUAGAACUUGCAACACUUCCUUCAUUGAUGGUCUAGACGAGGGCGAUGGUCCGGUGCACAUUAGACCUAAUUUGAGCACCACCUCCACCGUAUACAAGUAGGCGGGAACUUGAACCACCUCGUCGAUCACAUAAAUCAGCCCACCAUCCUCUUGAAACUGUUGCCAUGCCCAUUUGGCCAAACCUCCGUGCUCGCCCAUAUCGUUUGCUCGUCGUCCCGUGGUCAGCUCCAGAAGAACCACCCCGAAACUAAAUACGUCCACCUUCUCAUUGAUCUUUCGCAAAUAUCCACAUUCUGCGACCAAAUAAGAAAUCAAUUAGGAUAACUUUUCUCUUUGGGGGAAAAAAAAAACUUCUCUGUAAUGUGAUCCUACACCAUGAGAUCUCACCCGGAGCCAUGUAUCCAAAGGAGCCUGCUACGGCUGAUACAGAUUCUGGCUCUCCAGUCUUGACCAACAUACGAGCUAGGCCAAAGUCGGCUAUCUUAGGUCUAAAUUCGGAGUCAAGUAGUAUGUUGCUGGACUUGAUAUCUCGGUGUACAAUCGGUGGCGAGCAACCAUGGUGCAUGUAGCAUAGUCCUCGCGCAGCUCCAAUCGCAAUGUUCAACCUCCUAGACCAAUCCAACGGCGAAGACCCACUAACCAUCAUUUCCUGCCCAUGCAGCCACCUGUGCAGACUCUCGUUCUCCAUGUAUUCAUAGACGAGCAGCUUUGAGCCGGAACUCGAGAUGCAGCAAAGCAGCUUCACGAUGUUGGCAUGCCGAACAGAGCCUAAGAUCUCAACUUCUGCCUGGAACUCCUUUUCCAGCUGCGCGUCAAGCUUCCUACUAUUCCAUAUCUUUUUGACGGCUACAAUCUCCUCAACUUGGUUCCCGAGGCUGAUGCGAUACACCUUCCCGGACCCACCGCUUCCUAUUAUGUUGUCCUCCGUGAGGCCACGCGCAAUUUCUUGCUCUGUAAAAUCUAUUGCAUAAAAGGUUGUGAGCUUUGGUGCUCCCAACUCACUAUCGGUGAUCUUUUCUCGCUGGCGGUAUUCUUUCACCUUUUGGAUGGUGAAUGCCGCUAUGCUCAACAAUGCAAAACCUCCGAGGAACACAGACAAGAUGAUUAGUCUUCUUAAGAGCUUAUCUGAGCCAUCCAUUGUAUCUUUACAGUGGUGAAGAACAGCUGCAAAGUUGGGAGAGGAGCAUAGGCCUGGAUUGGAGAGGAAGCUUCUUUCGUACUCAUGAUUCUGCAACCACAUUGGGAUCUCGCCAGAGAGUUGGUUCACGGAGAGGUUGAGGAACGUGAAAGCAAUAUUACCUAACUGCUGUGGGAUCGUGCCUGACAGCUGAUUCUUCGACAGGUCAAGUGUUGUGAGAGAAGGAAGCGAUACAAUAGAGGAUGGUAUCUCGCCUAUAAGCUGGUUACUGCUGAGAUUCAGCACAGUCAAAAACUUCAAUGAUGAUAUUUCCGAAGGGAUUGUGCCGGAAAUCUGAUUCUCGUCUAGUAGCAUUAUUUCGAGUAGCGAAUUUCUGGCAUAUUUAUUCGGAAUCUUCCCCGACAACGAGUUGUUAGAUGCCUUAAAGAUCACUAAAUUACUUGGUAAUAAUGGAAUGCUGCCGUAGAAUCUGUUGUUCUGGAUUUCUAUAUUGAGAAGAUUUUGUGGGAGUUUGCCUGGAAGAGUGCCGGAGAAGGCAUUAUCGUAGAGCGUAACAGAGGUCAGGUUAACUGCAGACCAUGUGGUAGUCGGGAAUGCACCGGAGAAGUCGUUUCUGUCCAAUUGGACAGAUUCCAGCGUAUAACAGUUUGCGAGGGAUGCUGGUAUUAGGCCACUGAAGUUGUUCUGAGACACCACCAAUGCGGUCAGUGCCUUGUGCGAGCACAGACCCUCUGGUAACUUUCCAACGUGUUUAUUGCUGCUGACAUCGAGAUAAGUCAGAGUCGAAUGCUUCCCUAACUCAGGUGGUAGCACCCCUGUAAGGCUGUUGUUCCUGAGCCAAACAAUCUCUAGCAUCGGGAGCAAUCCGAUGCUCGACGGUAUGUCGCCGGAUAAUUGAUUGUUGUACAAGAAGAGGAGUGAGAGAUUCCUUAGCUUGCCAAGAUCCUCCGGCAUGGAUCCGGUCAGUAAGUUCAUCGAAACAUCAAUCUCCUCCAACCGCAAUGCUCCAAUAGUCCCAUUGAUCUCACAGCAGAGCUUGUUAGCAUAUAGAUAGAGAUUCCUCAGCUUCUCCAGCUUCCAAACCCAACCUGGUAUCCUCCCCGUCACAGAAUUCAUCGACAAAUCAAACAACUCUAGUUCUGUCAGAUUCGCCAAAUUUUCGGGGAUCUUCCCCACAACACUAGCUUGACUCAUCCAUAGAAACUUCAGCGACGUCAUGUUGCCGAAUUCAGGAGGGAUCCUCGCUGCAGCGAAAGGGUUGUAAGCCAAAGUUAGAUACUCCACUUUAGAAAGAUUGCCAAGCUCGGCGGGGUACGAGCCGUCAAAGAGAUUGUUGUCGAGCUGCAGGUUCUUAAUUGCGGGGAGCUGGCCAAUGGAGCUCGGGAUGUGGCCCGUGAAGUUGUUCCCCGAGAGGCCGAGGUAUGCGAGUCUCGGCGAUAAGAGGUUGAUAUCUGCGGGGAGUUUGCCAACGAACAGGUUCUCGGAGAGUUCCAAGAACUGCAACUUGGAGCAAUUGUAGAGAACAGUAGGAAAAACACCAGGAAGAUUGUUGUAAUACAGGUCAAGACGGGUGAGGUUCUGGAGGUCACAAAUGGCGGCGGGGAUCGGCUUGUUGAGAUUUUGGCGCCGGAGAGAGAUCUCUGCGACGAAGCCAUUGGUGCAAACGAUUCCGAUCCAGCUGCAGUAAUCGGAGGUGGUUGAGUUCCAUGAGGAAAGAGCUUGUGGGUUGCCCCAGUCACUCCUGAGACGAAGUAGUGUUUGCUUCUCCUCUUGUUUGGUUACUGUUUGGGAGUUGGAGAUUGCCGGUAAUAAUAGCGUCAUGAAGAGGAAGGGAGCCAAAAAGGAAGAAGAGACCAUUUGGAGUUUCUCUUUACUAAGAUGAUGAUGGAAAAUGGUGGGAAUGGAAUUGUUUGAUCAAAAUUAAGGUUGCCGUGAUGCGCUAAAUGACUCAUUAGCAUUUUAGAACCAAACGACCCGGAGACGAUCAUAUUACCAACAAAAAAAAAUUGACGCGUAAUUACACGUUCACUUUUCCCAUGGAUUACACGUUCAAUUUUGUUCCCAUGGAUAUUUUUGCAUCCACGGACACUUUUAAGCAUAAGUGAUAAAAAAUUUAAUAGUUAGUAUUCGAAAUAUAAAUUUCAAAUUUAGUUAUUUUAUAUUUUUAGAUAAAUUUUUUUUUAAAUAAAAUGAAUGAAAUUGGUAGCAUAUUAUUAUUUUUUCCUUAACAAAAUAUAUAUACAUAUUGUGCAUAUUAUCUAACUGAGUCAAGAAAGUAAACUGGGCCGAUCCAAAUUUAAGUUAUAUAUAUAUAUAUAUAUAUAUAUAUAUUAAGCAUAGGAUAAACUUUAAAUACCACUUAUGUGAUUUUGUACUUUCUCAUUUUAAUAUUCUAUAUUAUUCUCUCCACUAAUUUAUUUCGUUAAAUUAUAUAUAAAACUUCAUAUACCCAACUAAGUUUAUCAAAUAUUUAUUUUAGUACCUUUUAGUUUUAAUUUUGUCACUGAUUUAACAAAAUAAAUUAGUGGAGAGAAUAAUAAAAAAAUAAAAAUAAAACCACGGGGUACUAACUUGAUAUACUUUAUACCACAUGAUACUAAAAUAAAAAAAUACGAAACCACGCUGAUAGUAUUUGAAGUUUUUCCAUAAGCAUAAGGUGAAGUUAGAAUAUUUCUACAAAUGGACAGUUCUUUACUUUCAUAUCGAUUCUAUAAAUAAUUUUUUAAUAUAAGUUGCCUGGUAUCUAUAAAGAACUCGUCUUAAAGGCCCAGUAUUUCGUCCUAUGACGGAAAGUUAGGUUGAACCGAGUCACAAUCAAGACUCGUGAAUAUUGUGUCCUUACGGUUUAAGUGAACUGAUUAGAUCUUUUAACAUCUCAAGUUUUUAAAAUUAAUAGUUUGCACCAAUAAUUCUACACAAACUCUCUUUAUUUUUUGUUGUUGUUGUUUUUUAAUUUUUUACUUUCUUUUAGCAAAGUAAUAUUCAGCUGAUACCACGUGGAUCAUAAAAAGGUGUGAAAAGUGAGUAUAAUAAUAGCUUAUUCUCAAUCUUAUGAUCUUCAUCAAAAUUAAACUUCAUUUACAAGGAGAUUAGCCAAGCGGCGAUCCCAUUGGUUGGACCUUUAUUUAUAUCUUCUAUUACUUAAAUUAGCUAUAUAUACAGCGUAUUAGUAGACCUUACAGCAAUCCAUUAGCAGCUAGCGUUGAUCCAACACAGCUAUUUCUAGCUAUUAAUCCUUACCUACUACAGUUGUGGCACGCUCCAUUCCAAAGCUUGAGUCUAGGUUAGUGUGUGAGUUGUGCUUGUUCACUGCACUACGAUAUGUUACAUUUAUGCUCGCACAACAUGCGCAUAGAUGUCCUCUCUCUCGUCUUCUCCGGUAUCCGACAAGCUUUUCCGCCGACUCCCCAUUUUGAUUUGUAGAAAGGGAGCCGCGUCAUACUCGCCGCGGAGCAUGUUCCGAUCUCCGUUUGUGCGGUCGCACUGCAUUAGCUGUUUCAACACUUCCUUCAUCGACGGCCUAUAUGAUGGAUUUGUUGCGGUGCACAUGAGACCGAUUUUGAGUACCUCGUCCACCUCGUCCAAGUACGCGGGGUCCCGGAUGUCCUCGUCGAUCACAUCGAUCAGCCUACCGCCCUCUGCACAAUGCCGCCAUACCCAUUGCGCCAAGUUCUCGUCCUCGCCCCCUUCGUUCGCUUGCCGCCCCGUCGUCAGCUCCAGAAGAACCACUCCGAAGCUGAACACAUCCAUCUUCUCAUUGAUCUUCCUAGCGUAUGCACACUCUGCAACCAAAUCAAAUCACCAAUUACUAACAUUUCACUAUUAUUAAGUUGUACCUUUGCCAAUUACUGGCUCAUAAUUACGUUUCCCAGUAAUUCAUUUUACCUGGAGCCAUGUACCCAAAAGAGCCCUCUAUGCCUGAAACAGAUUCGGGUUCCCCGGCCUUGACCAGCAUUCGGGCUAGCCCGAAGUCGGCGAUCUUAGCUUUGAACUCCGAGUCGAGAAGUAUGUUACUGGACUUGACGUCUCGGUGCACGAUCGGCGCGGAGCAAUUGUGGUGCAUGUAGCACAACCCCUGGGCCGCUCCGAUCGCGAUAUCCAGCCUCAUCGGCCAAUCCAAUGGCACAGAUGCGCCUGCCUGCCCGUGGAGCCACAUGUCUAAGCUCUUGUUUUCCAUGUACUCGUAGACCAGCAACUUGGAGUCCGAACUCGAGAUACAGCAAAAUAGCUUAACAAUGUUGUUGUGCCGGAUAGAGCUCAGAAUCUGGACUUCUGCUUGGAACUGCUUCUCCAGCUUCGCGCCAAACUUCCGGCUGUUCCAUAUCUUUUUCACGGCCACCGUAUUUUCGGGACCGAGCUCGAUGCGGUACACCUUUCCAGAGCCGCCCCUGCCGAUCAGGCGAUCUUCAGUGAGCCUGCGGAUGAUACUCUCCUCCGUGAAAUCGAGAUGGUGGAAAGAGGUGAGCUUCCACGCGGCGAGAUCAGGUCCCUCCUUUUCCCUCUUGAGGUACUCUCUUACCAUUAAGGUGCCGACGACCGCCGUCCCCAAAAUCAAAAGCCCACCGAGAAGCAUGAUCACGAUGAACAGACUCCUCCCGAGCUUCGUAAGGCCGCCUGAUCUAUUGCCGCAGGCGCGGAGAUUCGUGAUGAUGUUAAGUGAGGAGCAAAGCCCGGGAUUCGAGAGGAAGCUUCUGUCAUACGCUUGGUUCAGUAACGACACCGGAAUUGGGCCGGAGAGUUCGUUGCAGGAGACGUUGAGAAAAUUGAGCUUAAGAUUACCGAGCUGCGGCGGGACCGGUCCCGAGAGCUCGUUGUCCGAGAGAUCAAGUGACGUAAGCACGGGGAGCGAUCCGAAUGAGCCCGGGAUCUCGCCGGUGAGCCGGUUGCUGCUGAGAUUGAGCUGGGUGAGGCCCGUCAAUGCCGAUAUCCCUGACGGGAUCGAGCCGGAAAUCCGGUUGCCGUCGAGAAACAGCACAUUGAGCUGCGAAAUUCCAGCUAGAUUACUCGGGAUCUCGCCCGAGAAUAAGUUGUUCGACGCCAGGAAUACCUGCAACCGGCCAGCCGAUGAAGGGAUGGUGCCGUAGAAUCUGUUGUUCUGGAUCUCCAACCGGGUGAGAUUCCACGGGAGCGGGUCCGGAAUGGUGCCCGAGAAGGCGUUGUCAUGGAUCAUCACCGUCGUAAGAUUCUCCGCCUUCCAAAUUGUAUUCGGGAACUCGCCGGAGAACUUGUUUCCAUAAAAUUGGAUGUUAUCUAGCGUGUAACAGUUCGCGAGCGAGUCCGGUACCCCGCCGGACAAGUUGUUGUUGAACACAACGACCGACCUGAGCGCCCCCCGUGAGCAGAGGCCCUCCGGGAGCUUCCUGGAGAGCCCGUUGUUGGCCACUUCAAGAUUUUGCAGCUCGGAGUGCUUCCCCAAUUCCGGCGGGAGCGCCCCGGACAGACUAUUGUUGAAGAGCCGGAGGUCGCGGAGCUGCGGGAGCAACCCGACGCUCGCGGGAAUUUCCCCGGAGAGUCUAUUGUAGUACAUGAAGAGCACUGUGAGGUUCGUCAGCUUACCCAGAUCGGCCGGCAUCGGCCCGGUCAAUAGGUUCAUCGAGACGUCGAUCUCGACCAGACUCAGCGCACUGAUCGUCCGGUUUAUCCCGCCGGAGAACAAAUUCGCAUACAAGUAGAAGUUCGUCAGCUUCGGCAGCGUCCAAAUCCAAUCUGGUAUCGUCCCGUUCAUCGAAUUCCAACCCAGAUCAAAAUACUCGAUCUCCGUGAGCUUCUGGAACGUGUCCGGGAUCUCUCCGACGGCGCCAAUCUGGGUCAUCCACAGAGACUUGAGCUUUGUUAAGCUCCCGAAUUCGGGCGGAAUCGGCGCGGGGGCGAAAGGGUUGUAUGCCAACGAGAGAUAUCGCAAAUCGUACAGAUUCGCGAUCUCCACAGGGUAGGAGCCGUUGAGGAGGUUGGAGUGCAGGAAUAGCGUCUGCAGCGCCGGGAGCCGCCCGAUGGAUCGUGGGACGUCGCCGGAGAAGUUGUUGCCGAAGAGGCUGAGGUACGUGAGCUUGGGCGAUAGCCGAUGGAUAUCGGCGGGGAGUUGGCCGACGAAUAGGUUUUGCGCGAGCUCCAGGUGCUCCAAGUUGCUGCAUUUGUAGAGAACGGUGGGGAACUCGCCGGGGAGGUAGUUGAAGUAGAGGUCGAUGAAGGAGAGGUUCGGGAGGUCGCAGAUGGAGGAGGGGAUGGGUCUGGUGAGGUUGUGGAGGCGGAGGGAGAUUGCGGUGACGGAGGUGUUGGUGCAGGUGAUCCCUUCCCAGUUACAGGGAUCGGCGGAAGUGGAGUUCCAAGUGGAAAGGGAUGGGGGGUUGCCCCAAUCGGAUUUUAGGAGGAGGAGGGUUUGCUUCUCUUGUUCUUCUUGUUGUUGUUGUUGUGGGGUUAGGGUUUGGGAGGUGGAGUGAGGGAGUGAGGUGGAGGCGAGGAGGAGCAGCAGAGGGAGUACGAGGAGGAGAAGAUGUCGAGAGGGAGAAGUUGCCAUUAGUGGCUGGCUUAAUUAGUUGUGAGAGGUUGCUGAGUUGGAGGAAACUGGAGUGGUGGGAUGGUUUUUUAUAGGUAUAUGGUGCCGCUUCCUACACUUCUGUGCUGUGAUUGGAGAGUAUUUUCCAGCAUGAUUAGUUCACUUCUUCUUGUUUGGUUCGCGUAUACUUAUUUCAAAAAUAUAUAUAAGUUUAUAUUUGAAUAAAAAUUAGAUUGUUUUUAAAAAUAAAAAAAAAUAAUGUUUAAACAAAUAAGAUGGAAUAAAAAGAAUAAUAAGUAAUUAUAAAUAAAAAAUAACAAUAUUACCCUCUCAUUAUAUUUGAAUUUGAAUAUUUUAAUUUUAUAUUUUUAUAUUUUUAUAUUUAAAAUUUUAUCUUUUAAAUUUUAAAAUUUGAAAUUAAAUUUUCAAUUUUCAAAUUACAAAUUUUAAAUUUUAACUUUUAAAUUUUAAAUUUCAAAAUUAAAAUUUAAGAUUAAAUUUAAAUUUGAAAAUAUAAUAUUUUAAAUUUUAAAUUUAAAAAAUUUAAAAUAUCAAAUUUAAAAUUUAAAAAUUUAGAACAUAAAAUUAUAAACUUUAAUUUUGAGAUUACAAAUUAUAAAUUUUAAAAAUAAAAAUAGGGGCGAGAACAUCUAUUCGGAACCGUUGUUUCCACCCUUAACGGGUUAUCUAAAAAUAAUCAUUUAAUAUUAAUUAGAUUAAUUAAUAAUUUAAAUAUAUUAACUAGAUUAAUUAAUAAUUUAAAAUUAUUAAUUAGAGUUUAAUUAAUUUUGUUCUCGAUUGUUCCAGGAAUAAGGUUGGAACAAUAAUUCCAGACUUAUACCGAAUUAUAUUAACUUAUUUCAGAUAUCCGGAAACUAUUAUUUUUGGAUAGGAAAAAUUAUGUUUAAGUAUAAAGGGGAUAAGGGGUUAUCCCCCUAUCUGAACCAAACGGGAUGGAAUUCGGAUAUGAUUGUACAUAGAAAUAAAUUAUAUAAUGUUCUAUAUAUGGUGAUAAUUUUUUGGAGAUAAAAUUAUAUUGUGUGAUUGAAAGGCUGAAGUUUUUUUUUAUUUUUUUGAAAGAUUUUAGAAUUUAUAAGUUGUUAUGAUAAUAUGUUAUUUCAAAAAAAUAAUUAGAAGACUAACGAUUAUUUUAUUCGGAGCAUUUGGUCACACUCCUAACUUUCAAUCAUAAUAAAAAAAAAAUAUUUUCAUGCCAAAUAAAAUAUUGCUAGAUAUCUCUUUUGUCAUCAUCUAUAUUUGAUUAAUUUUAUUAAAUUUUAUUAAUCAUUAACUAAAUGCUCCCCUUUGGGUACGUACAAAAUGGGACUUGAGCUUUUGGUUUCUCGAGUAAAAUCCUUAUAAAUUUUCUUGGCGAAAACUUGUUAUCGAAAUUCAUAGGAUAAAAAAAGACCUAAUUGGAUUGUAUUUUUUUCGAAAUACGUAGUAUGCUGUUUGUUUUGUUUUUUUUUUAAAAGCAAAUUUAGUUGAAAAUAUAAAUCAACUUAAAUUCAAAGUUGCCACAUCGAAUACUAACCAUCAAAUCCUUUAUCACCUGUGUUAGCGAUGGUCCGCAAAUCUAAUUGAACCAUCACGGGUUAACCGCUCCGCACUCCUUCCGAGUGGAUAAGAAAGAAAAUAAUAAUAAUAAUAAUAAAUAAAUAAAAUGGUAAUCUAGAAGGUCUAAGUGCCAGGGCAAUCACUGCGAAUGAGCACACAAGAUUUGUGGCUGCGAUGGGAACAAAUGAUUCGGUGGAGGACAUAUUUUGACCACUUAGUCGGUCGUUAAUGAUGCCAACACCACUGACUAAUUAUAUUCUUUCAGGUUAAAAAAAAUUACAUAAAAUUUUUUUAUAAAUUUUUAUUUUUUUAUUUUUUUCUCUCAUUAUUAAAAAUCUAUUUUUUUUAUCCAUCAACAUUUCAAUUUUUUGUUUUUAGUUUCCAUUCGUCUGAAUUCUAUUACUAUUUCGUCCAUUUUUUAUAAUUUAGACCGAAAACGCUUUUCAAAAUAAUACACAUAUAUUAGAAAUUAUUUUUUUUAUAAAAGAGGUAAAGAUAAUUUAGUCAUUUUGCCUUUCUUUAUUAACGCUAUACAUUCUGAAAAUAUUUUUAAAAUUUUAAGAAUGUAAAAUAUAAUUUUUUUAAAGUCUAAAAGAAAAGAUGAAAAGACGGGUAUUAUAAGAAAAUUUUAAAACUCUCAAAAAAAUGCUAAAUCUACAACACAAGAAGUGUGAUUCCUACAAUCUUCUAUCCAAGAGCUAUACCGAAUCAUUAUCUAAUAUAAUUUAUUAAGAAUUUGAUAGUAGAUAUUGGAAAUUUUAAUUUUAAGUCUAAUUAUUUCAUGUUUAUAACUGAAUUUAUUUAAAAAAAAUAAAUGGAGAGAGUGAUAUGCUAACUUUCUCUCUCUCAAAAUAACAAAAAAAUUUGCAGGGUUUACUGGCCCUUUUAGAUUUUUAGUUUGUGAAAAAAAAAUGAUAAGAUAGGAAGAGAAAAUAGAGCAAUUAAUUAGAGGAGUUAUAAGAUUACAAUCCAAAAUGCCUUGUAAUCUUAGGACUCCCCGAAAAGAAACGUACAAAGACCCUUUAACCUUUUGCCUUUUUGCUGAUAAAUUUUUAAAAUUUUAAUUUUGAUAAUUAAAUAUAAAAACUUUAUAAAAUAAUUCAAAAAGGUCCUUUUCUCAAUUGUAGUAAUUCGUUCUAAUAGCAUAUCUUAUAUAUAUUCUUGUUAAGUUUUGAAGCAGAUCAGAAAAAAUAUUUCUUAUAUUCUAUUACAUGAAAAAAGUAAUACAAAUUGAAGUUUUCAACUCUCAUACUUAUGAUAAGAAUUGAGAAAGAAAAAAAAAAUUAUAUUUUAAAAUUCUAUAAAAUUAUUAUAUGCAUGAUAUAUGAUCAAAAUGACUAUAUAGAAGAUUUAAUUGAACUUCCAUCGAAGAUAGAAACUAUUAAUUUAUUUGAUAAAUUAUAGAAGAUUUAAUUGCCAAAUAAAAAUUUUGAGGGCAUGUUUUAUAAAAAGUGCUAAAGUUCGGAUGAUUCUAUCAAUUUAUUUAUUUUUAUUUUUUUUAAUAAAAAAUUUAUUGAUUUCGCUAUUUUGUAAGAUCAUAAUAUCUUUUUUGAUUUGCAUAUUUGGAUCGAGUUUUUGAAUUAAGUGAUCAAAUUAUCUUUAUUCUUCUUUCUCCCUCUUUAUUCUAUUAUUCGUUUCUCUCCUCCUCCCUGCCGUUUGACAUCACUGCGCUCCACCCCACAGAGCUGGCGACGUCGGGCGGUGGACAAUGACGAGGAGAGAGAUGAAGCUGGAGGAGAGAUACAAAGAAAAAAAUUUGAAAAAAAAGAGAAAAAUUUAAUUAUUUUUAAAAAAAAUUGAUUUAAAUGUGUAAAAUUUAGAAAGACAGCUUGAUUUUGCAUAAUCAGUGGAUUUUUUUUAAAAAAAAAACAAAUAAUUUUUUUCUUAUUCUCUUUGGAGAGAUUCGUCGCCUUUAAUAAAAAAAACUAAAAGUGAAGAUAUAGACUGUAUGAGUGGACGGGUCGUCGGUCAACACUCAACGAGAAAUUGAUGCGUGGGAGCAAUAUACACCGAUAAGUGGAUAUAAGCAUCCCUUUGAUCUCCAUCAAACCCCCCACCAUUUAUGCGUGUCAUCAUCUCUCUUUUGUUUUUUUCUUUUUUUUUCUUUUUCGAGAGAGAGAGAGAGAAAGAAAGAAAGGCAGUGUGCUAUCUGUUUAAUUUAUUUUUUAAAAAAUAAACUUAGCUGAAAAUAUAAAUCAACUAGAAUUUAAAUUUUAAAUCUCGAGUACCAAGUCCUUUGCCAUUUGCGUUAGGGACGAUCGGUGUCAUCAUCUUAUCACUUAGAAAAAAAAAUUAUCCUACAGAUAGAGAUGUAUGCUUACAAUCAACUAAAAUUCGAAUUUGGAAUCUCAGAUACCAAUCAUCAGAUCUUUUGCCACUUGCACUAGGAACGGUCGGUAUCAUCAUCUUAUCACUGAGAAAAAAAAUUAUUCUAUGGAUAGAAAUGUAUCCUGACCCAAACCACUCUUUAGUUUUUAAGGUACCGUUUUAUUCGGAAACAAGCUAUUUUUGUCUAUUUUUGAAAUAGAUAUAAUUUUUGGGAUAAGCAAGUGGCGUUUGGACGCGAAUCAAAAUAUCUUGAAGGAUAAAAAAAAUUACGUUUGGAUAAAACAAAUGCAUUGAAAUAGUAAGAAUAAAAAUAAUUAUGAUUGAAAAAAAAAAAUUUGUCUAAAUAAUAAGCAUCUAACUAUUCUUGAUAUAAUAUUUUAACAAAUUAGUAAAUUAAUUAAUUAGUAACACUAUAUAAGAUGAUGAAGAAUCACAUUAAUUAGUGAAUAACUAUAAAAAAUAUAAGUCAAUAUGUUAAUGUUAAUAAAUUAUUUAAUUAAUUAUAUUUUAGUUAAUAUAUUAAUUUGAUAAAUUAAAAUAUUAAUUAUGCAAAUAAUUUAAAUAUUAGUUAAUGAUUGAAUAAGCAAAUCAAUUUUAAUUAUUUAAUUAGCUAAUUAAUUAUAAAUAAUAAAUUAACUACUAUUUUCAUAAUUAUUAAUUUAAUUAGUCAAAUAAUUCAUUGGUUAAUUAUUAAAAAAUUAAUUGCAUUAAUUAAUAAUAUUUUAUAUUAUUUAUAACUUAAUUAGUAGAGAGAUAAGAUGGAAAAUAAUUUAUUUCACAUAAAGGAUGGAAUUACUAUUCUCCUUUCUUAACGGAUUAUUCCAAAAUAACCUAUUAAGAGGAGAAUAGAAAAUUUUAAUGGCUGUUUGGGAGAAUAAGAGGAAUAAAUCUCUUAUUCUCUCCUUUUCCCUCCAACCAAAGAUGGUAAUAUUUUACUGCUUUAUUUUUUAAUAUAACUAAAAAUAUAAGGCAAUUAAAAUUUAAAUUUGAAAUCUAAAUAUAAAUUAUUAAAUUUUUUACCACUUACACUAGAGACGAAUUGGAUACAUCAUCCUACAUUGGACAAGCUAACUAUCCCAAGGCCAUAGUCUAUUAUUUAGUACAUAACGAGCAAAGCAUGCGUUUUUGUUUCUAUUUUUCACUUUCGAACACAAUUAUUUAGGCUAUGUUUAAGUAUAUAAAUAUUUUAUUCAAUAUAUAUAUAUAUAUAAUAUAAUAGAAUAUAUAUUAUAUAUAUAUAAUAUAUAUAUUAUUAUAUUAAUUGGAACUGGGCUACUAUUAGUAGCAAAAUUCUAUUGUUACUAUCAUUUUUAGCCCUUUGGAUCAACUCUUUUCAUCAUUUCUAACCAUUGGAUUAAAUACUAUAACCCAGUGGGGACCACUCAACCCUAGGAGGACCACUCAGCUCUAACAGACUAAUAUCAUCCCUAACCCUACAACUUUUCAUCCAAGGUUAAAAAAUUGAUAGCAAAAAAAGUUUUACUAUUAAUAGUAUUCAAUCUAAUUCUAUAUAUAUAUAUAUAUAUAUAUAUAUAUAUAUAUAUAUAUAUAUAUAUAUUUUGUUGUCAUGUAGUGUGUCCACAUUGACAGGCCUUAAUUUAAUCCGAUCCACUUAAGAUGUGGAUUUAUAUUUAUCCUAAUAAGUUGAGGGUAAGAAUAAAUUAUAUAUUACUUAUUAGUUAAGAAACAUAUCUUCUAGUCGAUAUCUAUUAUGAAUAUCCUAAUCCUAGUCCUUAUCUUAAUCUCUUUGUGAGAUUCAGGAUAUUUAGGGGUUCCGUUAUUUUAUAAAUAGGUCCCCAUUUUUCUCUCCCAUAAGAGAAUACGAUUUAAUCCGAAAGAAGCCACGAUAAAUUCUCUUUCUUCUUUCUCUCUGGGAUUUUCACCUACGUUUCCGGGGUUUUGGAGUGUGGAUAUAAAAGAGAACUCUAAUAGCCCUCUUCAAUUGGCAUCCGUCGCAUCAGAUGCGCAUCCAAUCCGUGACGGAAGGCGUAUGCGUGGAAGAAGGCGAGAAACGUGGGAGAUCCAGAAGCAUCGAGACAAGAACGAUCCAAGAAGGCUUAUAAAACAAGCAAUCUGAUCCGAUUUCGAUUUUCAAAUAUGUUGGCUAUCCAGUUUGUAAGUUUUCGCUGCCCUAAUAUUUCCAACAUAUAUAUUUAAUUAUAGUAUUUGGUAGAUGGUAAAUAAGGAGUGCAGUCAAAUGUUGAAAAAUGUGUAUUAUAUUAAUUAUUCACGCUAUUUUUAAAAAUAAAAAAAAUCAUUUCAUAGCAAAAAUAUGUUAUUUUAUUAAAUUGAAGUAAAACUCAUGCUUUUAACUUUUAAUUGGACAAAAGAUGACCACAUAAUAAAUAUAUAGCAUUUGAUAAACGAAAUAGUAUAAAUUAUAAAGUAUUUGUCUCUAAAUUUAAACUCCAUUUAUAAUUGUAGGUAGAAAAUGUUCUCUUUUUUAGAAAAAGGUAGCAAGCUACCUUCUUCAUUUAUUAGAAAAAUAAGUUAAACUUACAAAUGAAAACAGCCGAGACCUCCGAAAGAAAAAAUAAAAAUUAGAGGACAUAAAAAUAAAAUGUUAGACAAAGACCAGAAAAGGACAAAAAAGAAGCUGACAACCAAGGACCGAAAAAUGUAGAAGAGAAUCUAUGGCACUUGGCAAUGUCACGUAAACCACGCUGACAUCAGGAAUCUGACGCGUUUUAAUGCACGGGUAGGGUUGGGAAACUUCGCUCGGAAAAAAAUGUCAUUCCUUUCGGUUCAAACAAUCCACCAAAUGACAGUCAGUAGAGUUAAAACUUCCAAUAUCUUCUGGGUGUCCAGUAAACUGAGCGAUUUUGACCACAAUUAUUUUGCCUCCUCUGAGGGCGUUAUCAAGACUUGCGGUCCUUCCACACUAAUAUCAACACAUGCACCAAACACACUUUGUUCAGCUAAGAUAAAUCUUUUUUUACUUUAUUUGAUUAGAAUUUGAGAAUAUUGGAAAUACCUUCAAUAGAAGCAUAGUAUUGAAACCUUUUAGCUGUUUCUUAAUUUAUGGUCAAUUUAUUCCUCCCCCCCAGAUGGGCUACAAGAACGCAGUGAACUUCGCCGUGAAAGCCAAGUGAAAAGCUUAGUUGUUUUUGCCUAAAAGUUCCAAUUUAUUCCUUCUCCCAACGAGCAACAAAAAUAUAUGAAGAUUUUGAGUUAAUUCGUAGAAAAUAAUUAAAAUUAUUAAAUUUGAUGGAAUCAUCAGUUAUCGAAAUAAAACCUCCAAAAUUUUAGUAAAAUCAAAAUUAAAAGAUGUUAAUAAAAAUAAAAAAAGGUGGAGGGGACAAUCUCGUAAUUGCCUAGAGUUGAGGUUNUUUUUUUUUUUUUUUUUUUUUUUAACCUUAAGUGACAAGUUGAUUCCUCUUUUACCCUCUUAUAGUUACCUAUAAAUAUUCUCCUACAAUUAGGUUUGGCUCGUGACCACUUCCGAGUCCAACAUUAAUUAUACCACACCUAUGCGCUAGCUAGCGCACAAAUUGACAUUGUUAAUUAGAAAAAAAAAAAAUUUAAAUAGUACCAUUUUUAGACGCGUGAACCCAAAAUAGUCCAAGGUGGAGUUUAAUUGGCUUAGGUUUUCUAAACCUUUAUCCAAUUUUAAAUAAAAAAGUUCAAAUUAUUUAAAGCUGUUGAAAUUGAUACUCUUUACUCCAUGCAGGAAAAAAAAAAAAAACCUUUCCUGUAAUAGGUGUUAUCCUUUUAUAGGCGUAUUAUCUUUUGCGGAAACACUUCUUCUGCUGUAGAGUAUGUAGGAUAUCAAAAUUUGAGUCUCGCUUCGUAUUCAAAUCUUAAUAAAAAAUGAAAAGUACUACAUGCCGCUCAAUGACGAGAACUGUGCCUUUAUGGUUUGCUUCACGAAGCAACACUUUAAUAUGGGAAGUAAAACUAGAAGUUUCUGAAUUGAAUUAUCUAAGAGUUUUAAACUUGAAUCGAGAAAUUAAUUAUUUGAGAUUCGUCUACAUCUUUUUAACUUGCAUCGAGAAACCAAUUGACCUUCCGGGUCUAAAGGAAUAGACGAAGGUCUAAUUUAAACUUCAUAAUUAUCGUAACUUUGAUGAGGAGUUAUUGAUUGAUUUAUCUCUAAGGAAGCUAUAGGGAGCUUAAAUCGAGAAAGUAAAGUAACUUGUACCGCGAAACUAAUUGAGCGUCUGGGGUAUAGAAGAAUAAAAGGUCCAAUCAAUACUUCUUAAUUCAUAUAACUACAACGAGAAGCUACUAAAGUCUAAAAAAAGAUUUAUUUUCAAAGAUGCUGUCACGACUUUGCCUAAAUAAUACUUCUGCAAGAACUUUCAUAUCAUUUUACAAACCCUGAACACAAUUGACCUAGCUAGCUUAUCUCUAAAUACUAUUUUUGUAAAGCUUUUCAUUAUUAAGCAUUAAGGGCUUUUACAUUAAAUUUCCCUCCAAGCCACCGAAUUCAAAUUCAGAAUCUCACUUCAAUGUUUCGUUCGUAAAAUCUAGAUCAUUUUGGCUAACAAUCUAGGUGUUUUUUUAAAGUGAAAGAAAUUUUCAAAAGUUAGGCCAAGCAGUGAAAUAGAAGACCUUGCAGAUAUAUACACGUAAAUUGCAAGGGCAAAACUACAAGUUUCUAUGAUGCAGUUUAAAUUUGUUAGUAAGAUAAAUUUGGUUCGGUUUCUGUUUGGUUUUAUCGAAAAGCAAAGCACACCCCCUAUAUAAUUAAGCAUGUAACAAAUUUACAGGAAUAUCAUUUUCAUAAUGUAGCUGUUGACGAGGAGGAAAAAGCAUCUGCACCAUGCCCCUGGUAAUGGAGCUAGCACUACGUGUUAUUUAUCUAUCUUUGAAUCUCAUGAUGUUACAGCUAAUUAAGGAUCGAUGCUCCCCUUUGUGGGUUCACACCGAAAGAAUCAAAGAGGUGGCAAGGUGCUUUCAUUAAUUAAUUAAUCUUCUUUCCUCCUCGUUAGUCAAGAUACGGUUUUGCAAAGAUCUUAACUUUAAAAUAACCUUAAACACGUAUUUUCUUUUAUCAUAUAAUGGAAUUAUCAUGUUGAUCAAGGUUUUAUUUUGUAUCAAACGCACAGGUUGUUUGUGUAUGAUAACUCUUUAUGUAUUAACUAGUGUAAUAAUUCGUACGAUGUAAUGCAUAAAUAAUUAGAGAAAAAAUAAAAAACAGCGACAAGAAAAGAGAAAAUAGCGAUGGAAGAACUGAAGAAACGAUCAUAAGGGUGCGUUUGGUUCGCAUUAUGAAAGAUUGCUAGGAAUAAAAGAUAUCUGAGAAUCUUAUUCCUAUUCACAGGGGCGGAGCCAUUGAGGGGCCCACAGUGGCCAUGGCCCCCCCUAACUUUUUUAAAAUCACAUAAAAGUCCUU
RNAcentral lists this long non-coding RNA (44128 nucleotides) under Ananas comosus (pineapple). RNAcentral's name for it is "long non-coding RNA (ACOM_LNC015936)". The record is from RNAcentral. Lineage: Eukaryota; Viridiplantae; Streptophyta; Magnoliopsida; Poales; Bromeliaceae.